CAUUUUGCCCCUAUACUUUUGACUUCUUUACAAUUUAGUCCCUAGGCUCGUAAAAUGAAAUUCAUGCAAUUUCAUCAACAUCUAAGCCUAGCUGAAUUUACUAUAUACUUAUAGCAGCCCACACACUCCACAAAUUGACAUAUUUAACACACAAUUUUCACAUUUCACAAUUUAACCCCUAAUUGGUAAUUUCAUUAAAAUUCCUUUAACAAAAGUUGUUUAUUUAACAACAAAGUUUCAUUUUCUUCCAUUAAACUUCAAAAUCCUAGCAUUUUCAUCAAUGGAAAAUCUCAAACUAUUCAAUAGUUUUGCAAAUUAGUCCCCUAGUUAGCUAGGUUAAGCUACAACGAUCCCGAAAACAUAAAAAUCGUAAAAAACGGGCUUAAAAAUCACUUACGUGUAAGGGUUUAAGUUGCUGAAAUUUUGAGCUCUCCAAUGGCUAUUUUCUUGGUGAAAAAGCAGUGGAAGAUGAAGAAAGAAUGAAGCAUUUUUCUUUUGUUUUAUUUAAUUUACUAUUAAUUACCUAAUUACCAUUUUUCCCUUACCUAACUUCAAAAACUACUCAAUUACCAAGCCAUGCACAUCCACUAACUCAUUUAAUGGUCUAGUUACCAUUUAAGGACCUCCAUUGUAAAUUUCUAUAGCUAUUUAACACAUUUAGCUAAUAGAACACAACUUUCACACUUUAGGCGAUUUAGUCCAUUUUUGCAAAUCGAGCAUACCAACGAUAAAAUUUCUUAACAAAUUUUUUAUACAAUAAUACUAUCAUGCUUUAGACCACAAAAUAAUAUUAAAAUAAAUUUUACGACCUCAUAUUUGUGGUCCCAAAAUCACUGUUCCGAUUUCACUGAAAACGGCCCGUUACAUGUUAAAUUCUUAUGCAUGCCCUUUUGAAAGUGAAUAGUAUUGGUUGUUUUGACAUGUUUUAGGCUUUUUUAAAUGUGUUUUUAAAGUAUGGAUAUGGUUAGUUUUGAUUGGGCUUGGAACCUGGGGGUUAGAUGAAAGUUUGCCUUGUUUUAAUUUUUGGGUGCAGGAUUUUUCACACGGUCACAGUUAGUUACACAAUCUGGCCACACAGGCAUGUGGGGAGGCCACGCAGCCUAGGCUAUACCACACAGCCUGGCCACACGACCGGGGUUGACAACACAUCUCAAACAAUCAUCAGGGGUACAAGCCAUUUCAUCGAAAACUCUCUAUGUGUUCUCCAGCCAAUAUUCAGCCCUGACCGGAUCAUCUUCCGCUUUUCCUCGGAACUCUUUAGCCCCACAUUUUCUGAUCUUAUCUAUCGGAGGUUGUCGUACGCUUUUCGUAUUACGAGAAUGAAGCAGUAUUAGAUGAGGCACAAUAGGGGCGGAGGUUGCAGCGUCAUAGGAUUAGUUCUCAUAAAUUCAGGUAACCACCAAUUCAUCAUCCCAAAGAAGACAUUUCUCGCCUCAUUUUCGGGUAUUUGCGAAACGGGGAUACUGUGAUUUGCUUCCUGAUCGGAAGCCGGAACAUUACUAUCUACUUUAUCAAAGACGGUAUGGUUUGAUUGGCCGACAUCUUUUAUAUCUAUAAAAAAAAUAGUCAGAUCGGAUCAAAAGACAUCACAUUAUCAUAAAUUAUCGUGGCAUGUGUUUUCUAGACUCGAUCACACUAUCAUAGUAUGUGUCAUAAGUGAUUAUACAUGAACUUGUUUGACCUUGGGUGAUAUAACCAACUGAGACCAAUGAGAAAAAGGAAGAAAUCCUUCUAAAGGAACCCCCUUAUUAUCAUAUUUAGUUGGAGGCAUACAUCUUCCCAACAAAACUAAAUCUAACUGUUUUUGUGAGCAUUAUGGCUUUGUCAAGAGAUAAAGCCGUGUGAUGGUUAAGGUAAUGACAUAUCUAGUGGUGGAUAUUAAAUCUGGUGUGAUUAUAUUACAUGUUUAUCUGGUAUUGCUGUUGAACGAGGUGUAUGUACUUUAUACCAUCAUGUACUCUUAUCAUUUGUAGCAUGCCUGUAUGCAUUUAAGUAGUUUGUUACUAUUUGUAGAGCGAUUAUAGUGUUUGUGAACAUAAAAUAAGUUGCUCACAGUGUUGGUGUCGUCCGGAUGAGUUGCUUAUUUUUCUAAACUUGCAUCAUUUCAAAUACUUCCGGUAAAUAUUAAGGGCCUAGCUGGGAGUGUAGCGACAUUAGCAAAUUGGCUGACAUCGUAGGUGAUUACUAUGAUGGCAAACUUCUGAACUAGAGUGGUGGAGGUCUUUGCCUCUCCCAAUAUGUGUGUUUAGUUGCAAUGUACAAGUUAAGAAGAAUCUAUAUAAACAAACAUGCUUGCAUCUUAUGAGCAGGAACAUUCACUAUUUACGCGGUUGUGGCGGCAUUCACGGUUGUGUAUGUGGCACUUUGGGGCCCUGAAACCAAAGGGAGUUCAAUCUUCCUUAGAUAAAAACGUUCGUCAGUGUAAUGCAUUUACCGAUUUGAUUUUCAAAAUUGUUAAGAGUACAUAUGCGCAGUUCAUGUCCAGCAAACCUGUACCAUGUAUUGUUUCCUUGUUGUUUGAUAACAUGUUUGCACUACCCUUUUAAAAGGAAAAAAGAAAAAGAAAAAGGAAUUUGUUCUUAAUUAUACAAUCAACUCUGUUUAUAUAUAGAUUUUUUUGUAGACUCAUUUGAAUCCCAAAAUUUAGAUGUUAUAAAGUGGUGAUUACAAUAUGUCUAUAAUUGUAUUCAAGAUACAUUUAUAUCAGCAUAUAAAAUUUAGAUCAUGUUUAAAUUUUUAAAAUUUAAAUUAAAAUAAUAUUAUGUCAAAAGAUUUUUUUUAUUUAAUAAAAUGUUAUUAAUAUAACUUUAAACAUUAAUUGAAAUAUUAUAAUUAAUUUUUUUAUAUUUCAUUUAAGAAUAAAAUUAAUUUUAUUUUAUAAUAAAAAUUGUUAUAAAAAAAUUAUUUAGUAAAUGGUGUGUUUUAUAUUUUAUUGAUGGUAUAGAUGAAAAAAGUUGUUAUAGAUGAUGAAAAUACAAAAAAAAAAAAAUCACAAUAAUUGCACUGUAUAAUUAUUUCUUUGCUAGAAAACUGAAAGGUUUUGUAAUAAAAUAAUAAUCCAGUACAACAAAAGUCCCUUAGCACACACACCCCAGUUCCUCUUCUGUAUUUAUGAGAGCAAAGUUUGGCAUGGGAUUGAAAAACCAUAAACUCAUUUGUUAACUUGUUCAGCAUACAGUGAAGCCAGGAAAUGCUUAAGGCAGCUAUUGUAAACACAAGGUCGCUCCAGAUGAACCAAGUGACCUGCCUUUUGUAUGCCUUUGAAUGUUGUAUUCUCUCCUAGUUGUCUGCAUCAUCAAUAGAAAAUUUUAUAUAUAUAUAUAUAUCCAAUUAUCCAAAAAAAAAAAAAAGAACCCUCAAAUCUAAACUUGUUUUCUAUCUAGUUUUUGAGAUCAUAAAACAUACUCUUUCAUGUUGUAAGCAAGCUCCUGCUUGAAGAUCUGAUCUUCUUCACCCCACAGCAGAUGUAUUCUCUGCAAAAUCAUAAUAUAACAAAACUGGAGUAAGCAAUUUCUUUUCGAAAAAUCUACCAUUAAAAAAACAAAACAAUAAAGGCAAAUGCAGAUAACCUGUGGAAAAGAUGGUAUGGUGGCAUCCUUAUUACUAAUGACCAAACCCUCCAGUAGUUCAGCUCUCUCUUUCCUGUUGGUAAACAUCACCUGUAAUUCCAUCCAGGGUCAUUCAUGAUCUCAGUUUCAGAAAGUUUCCUAAUAUAGUAGUAGAAUAUUUUUACCCUGUAUUUUCUCUCUUUUUUCUUUUCCUGUGAAACUUUAUUUUCUAAUUCAAUGAUCCAUUAAUUUUUGCUAGGACCACCUGUAGCUAUAACUAAAGGGAAAGGCAGACCUCUCGGUUAACCAAUUCACUUGGUGUAAUAAAGUAGGCACAGUCAGUUGAGCUAAUUAUAAACCUUGUACUUCCAAACAUGUUUCUCAUUCUUGUUUUGUUCCUUUGUGUCGAAAGUUUACCUAAUUCAUUUGCUUUUAUAUAAUUAUACUAUAUGUUUAAAAGAUAAUAAGCCAACAUACUUAACACUAGAAUCCUAAUACGUGCCUCAUACAGGGACAUUAAUCCAAACCCCAUGAAAAUCAUGUGAAUCACCAGCCAGCCAUGCAUGCAAAAUGUUCAUUAUGAUAGAAUAAACAUUGUUGAUGAUGAUAAAGAGUAAUAAAAUGUAAAGGAACCUCAAGAUAGUCUUUGUGGAGGCGAUCAGGGAACCAAAGCUUCUUGUAAGCAGCAACGGAGAGAAGAGCUUUAAGACCCUUAACAGAAUUAGGCAACAACAGUUCUGCAGAAGACGAGAACCCUAGCCUGUUUAAUGUUUCCACGCUUAUGGAAUCAGUCAUGGCCAGGAUCGAGCCAGACACCACCAUGGCUUCCACCAUGUGAGGGUACAUCUGCGCCAUCUUGAAUGCCACCAUCCCACCAUAGCUGAACCCCACAACCACACACUUCUCGACACCAAGUUUCCUUAAACCCUGAACCAAGUACUCGGCUUGGAAAGUCGGUGACCGGUCUGGUUUGUCAGUAAUGGAGCCACCGAAGAAGAGAAGAUCGGGUACAUAAACCGAGUACUUCUUCGUCAAAGCACCCACUUGGAAUUGCCAUGUGACAAUGCCUUCUGCUGCAAAGCCAUGCACUAAGACCACCACUGGUUUUGUUGGUUUCUCCAAAUGGGUGACCUUUUUUUCACCCUUCCCGGGUUUCUUGACUGUUUCACAAGGAACCCAAAAGUUCAUCACCGUGCCUGGCUCGAUCUCCACCGAGUAAGGCUGAACCCCCGCCAUCUUCAUUAACCCAUUCAUCAGUGGCUUUUGUGCUGCUACAAGAUUCACCAUUUUUUUUCUCUCUUGUUUUCUUUAUCUUCGCCUACCUUUUCCCCUUGAUUUAAAGCAGUGAUGUAUAGAACGUAAGCUAAUCCAAGGUAUUUAAAAUUCCGAGGAAAGCCAGGUUUGGUUAUAGGUUGUUAUCAGAAACAUUAAAAAGGUCAGAAAUUUCAACGCACUUCAUUGCCAUUGUGGGCUUGGUAACCAGCUCGAUUGGUCUUUGAAUUGUUAAAAGCCAAAACCAAUAACGAUGACCAAAGGUAGCACAUUCGAAAACCUAAUCAACGUAACGAAUCCAAAUCAUAGAUUCUACAGUUUCUUACACGAAAUCCCUAUUACUCAAAUGGGCACACGUUCUUUUAAAAAAAAAGUAAUUUAAUUUACAAGGUUGUUUGAUUUUUGAUCACCUACACUACCUACUCACAUCAGCAUGAUUUCCAGGACCCAUUGAAAUCUUUCCUUAAAUUUAUAGGCAUUUUAGGUAAGUGGACUGUCCCCGUAUUGACGUUUGCAUGUUUUAUCCAAACAUUUUCCUUGUAUUUUUGUUUUCAAGUUUAACCAAAUCCUGCAUAUAAUUUAUUGGAAAGAUAGGUAAACUUGAAUCCUGAUCAAUUAUGCAACAAUUAAUUAAUUGAAUCAAAUGUUUGAAUGUAAAUUUGAUGAUAUUAAAAAAACCUAUUCUUUUAUCUUUUAAAUGGUGAAAAAAUUGAAAUUAAAUUAUAUAUAUAUAGCUUUGUAUUUCAUACGAACUAAUACAUUAUUAGUAAAUCAUAUCCAUAUAAAUCGUCGAUAAAUUAAUAAAUAAUUUUAAAAAUCAAUAUAAUUAUUAUAUAUAUAUUUCAAUACUCAACUGUUGACAGUCUUCUGGCUUACUCACGGUUUUUGAAGUUGUACACUAUCAGAGUCAAAUAUAAACGCAUAUAUACCAUCAUCGCCUAGAAUUUAAUUUGAGAGGGUUCUUAUUUUUGUGGUAUUUUAGUUUGGUUUUUAUGUUUAAUUUGAUACUUAAAUUAAAUUACAUUGUAUGACCUAAAAAAUACUUGACAUAUAUGCUCUAUCAAAUUAAAUAUUAAUAAAAACUUUAGUAUCAAUUUGAGGAAACUCAACAUUGAAGUCAUAUUUAAUUUUAAAUUAAACUUUGAUCCUAAAUUUAAAUAUCAAAUAUAUUAACCUUAAAAUAAAAACUAUAAAAAAUAUGAAAAUAUCUCAUUGUUUAACUUUAUCAAUUCAGUAAUAAAUUACUGGUUCAAAUACUAAAUUACCUGUACUAAAAAUAGGUUUAACACUAUUGAAAUAUGGAAUAACCUUUCGUUCUGAAAACUGGGCAAAAGAAAUUAUCGCUUUCAGAAAGCUACUAAUAAUACUUAAAAGAAUUUAGUCUGGUUUGCCAGGUGCUGUCAAAUUUAAUUACGAUUAAGAAUGCUUUAAUCAAAGACACAUUCAAACAAUCAAUCUGGUUAACAGGUGUCAGCUUUGCACAAAAUUUGAUGCAGAAAUAUUAAUAAAGCAUAUUAAUCUUUAAGAAAUGGAUAAAUAAAUCUAUGUUCUUUUUAGUUUUUCUGUUGGUUCUUAUAUAUCAACUUAACGUAUACGUAUGUCUAAUUAUUUUAUUAAUUACAUUAAAUUUUAACAAUACAGAGUAAAUGAUGAGGUUUUUAAAAUACAUUAUAUUUAUUUCUAAAAAUAUAUAUUUACUAAUAAAAUAUGGAAUCAUUAUAAUAAAAUUUAUAUUGAAAUCUAACCACCAUAAUAUAAUAUUAAUAAAAAAAAUAUCGUUUUAAUAUUAUAUUCAAUAUUUAUAUGAAUAGAAUAUUAUAAAUUAUGAAUAUGUUUAAUGAUUUUACAUUUUCAUUCUGACCUUUGAUUUCUCUCUCCACUUUACCUUCUCAAUUAAAUGCUCUCUCCCUCUCCUAUUUUUAAAAAAAUGAAUAUAUCCAUUAUCUUCUUUAAAAAUUUGUAGCGCACUGUCACAAUGACCACCGUUUACCGCCAUUAGCUGGCAUCCCUUAUUUCUCAGAUUUGGUUGCUUUAUUAUUAUUAUUAUUAUUAUUAUUAUUUUAUUGUAUUUUUUCUAAAUCGACUUUUAACAUAAAAAAUAUUUCGAAGCUUUCAUCUGCAUUUCAUUUUUCACUGUUCCGACCUCUACGAUUUUGUGCUGUUUUCUUUUUUAUAUUUAAAGAAAUAAACUAAAAAUGUAUUCUACAAUCUGUAUUUUUUGAUAUUUAGACACAUUAGCUCAUUUAAUUAGGUAAUUAAAUAUUAGUAUUUUUGUUUUUAAAUCUUGGAUUCGAUUUAUUUUUUUCUUAUAUUUGUAUUUUUAUUUCAUUUGUUUUAAGUUUUAAUUUCAUUUUUAAUUAUUAUUUUUAAUACAUUAACUUCUUUGGUUAGAUACUUAAUUAAUAAUAGUUUUAUUCUUCAAUUUCAAGUUCGAUUCCCUUCUAAGUAUGUUUAUUUUUUUAUUUCAUGUUAUUUCAAGUUUUUUUUAUUUUUAAUUAAUAAAUAUAUUGUUUUUAAGUUUUUUUAAUUCGUCUUUUUAAUUAAUAACUCUUUUAUUUAUAAAAUCCAAUAAUUAUUUUCAAUUAUAUAAAAAAUAUAUUUUUGAUAAAAUUGAUAUUUAUCAUUAUGUUAAAUAUAUAUAUUUUUAAAUCAGCAACUAAUUUUUUUUGAUAUAUUUUUCUUUAUAUAUAAUAUUUAUAUGUCGAAUAUUUAUUUUCUCCACCUAUAUUGUGGGUAUGGUGAUUUUUAAUAUUAUAAAAUCAAAUCAUUAUUUCAAAUAUCAUUAUUAUUUUUAUAUGUAAAAUAUUUCAAAUAUCAUUGUUUUUCAUCUACUUUGUAGCUAUGAUAUUUCAAAUAUUUUAUAUGUGAAUUAUAUUUCAAUUAAUUAUUUCAAAUAUCAUUAUAUUUAUAUGUGAAAUAUUUCAAAUAAUUAUUUCAAAUACACAUACAAAAAUAUAUAAUACUAAAAUCUACUACACUCAUCAUGGUAUGGAUUGAAAGAUAAAUAUUACUCAUAUAAAAAUUAUAUUUACUAAAAAUAAUGAUAUUUUGCAAUAAUUAUUUUAUUUUAUAAAUAAAAGAGUUAUUAAUUAAAUAGAUGAAUUAAAAAAAAAACUUGAAAAUAAUAUAUUUAUUAAUUAAAACAAAAGCUUGAAACAAGUUGAAAUAAAAAACACAAAUGUGUAAAGGAAAGAAAUUGAACUUAAGAUUUAAGAAUAAAAUCAUUAUUACUUAACCAUAUAUAUAACCAAAAGAGCUAAUAUGUUAAAAAUAGUAAUUAAAAAUAAAAGUAACUCUUAAAACAACAUGAAAUAAAAAUACAAAUGUGGGUAGGAGAGGAAUCAAACCACUAACAUUUAACCAUCUCACCAAAAAAACUGGUGUCAAAAAGUCAAAAAAUGCGUAUUACGACGCACAUUUUUAUGACAUGUUGGUGAAAACAUGACUUAUAGGAUGUGUUUUCAGCAGAACAUACUUCCUACCGGAUAUGUUUUUUGUUUCUCUCUUUAAAAUUCACCUAUUUACGUAAAUACCUCAAAAAUCGACCCAAAACUUUAAAUAUAUUUUAAAAUCAACAUUUCUUUUUUCAUAUUCCACCUGAAAUCAAGUAACCAAAACCCAUGUUUUCUUUCUUUUUUUCAAUUGUUUUGCAUUUUUACAUUGAUGAUCUGUUGGAUCAUUUCAAGCUAUGUUUUACGUUGAUUCAAGAGAGUUAUUAGAGAGAAUUUCAAAAGAAGAAACGAAACCAUUCGGUGGAGAAGUUAAAUAUGUAUAAUUCAUUUCUAAAAUAUUUCAAAUCAAUUGCAAUCUGAUUUUAUUCAAACAAAAAAUUUUACCCUCAUUCUGGCAUAUUAAUAAUUUAGCAUGAAAGAUCAACUGUAUUUCUAAGUCAAACCCUAUGUUUUAGCUAAAUUUCAUAUUUAAUCUUUGCAAUAAAAAAUUAAAAUUAAAAUUAAUGUUCCAAAAUUUUUAAUUUUCAACAUCUUAAUUCAAAUGUUUACCCCUUAAUAUUUAGUUUCAUAAAUUAGGAGUAAGAUUCAUAAAAGUAUUAUAAAAGUUGGUGUACUAGAAAUCAAAUUGUAUAUUAUUAUUUUUACUAAAAAAUAGGUAAAUUAGUCUUUAUACCUUAAAAUAAAGAGUAAACUGAUAUUUUUAUUAAAAUUUUUAUUUAUUUUUACUGUUAAAAAAUACGUCAACAGGGUUAGCAGCAACAAGUAAAAUUACAGGGAGCCAACCAUUGCUAAGGUUGUAAAUGGACAGAACAUUUGGUGAACAAUUCAUGAAUAGUUCAGUUUUAUUCGUUCAUUAAAUUAAAUAAAUGAACAUGAACAAGACCUUGAGGCUCAUUUAUUAAGCAAACCAAACACAAAUAGAACUUGUUCAGUUCAUUUAUGUUUAUUUAAAACUUAUUCCAUAAAUCAUUUAAAGCUUAUUUAUUGUUCUAUUAGUAUAUUCAUUUAUGUUUAUUUAAAACUUAUUCCAUAAAUCAUUUAAAGCUUAUUUAUUGUUCUAUUAGUAUAUAUUAAUAAAAUCAUUUUAUUUGUAUUUUUUUUCAUUUAUAAUACAAUUAUUAAUAUUAAUAUUAAUAUUUAACUAUUUUAUAUCUAAAAAAUAAUAUAUUUAUUGUUUAUUUAUUUGUUACUCAUGAACAUUGUUUAUAAAUAUAUUCAAUUAUAUAUUUAUAAAUAAUUUUUUAGAAUAUGUUUGUAAAUAUUAAAUAAACAAAUAUAAAUAUAUUUAAUUUUAAAUAAAUAAACACAAAAAAAAUUUAAAAUUCUUUAACCAACACGAAUUCAACAUGAUCAACUUAAAAAUAGAUAAAACAAACAAAGUUUAUUUAUUGAAGUUGGAUUCCUAAUCCUAACCAAUUCCCAACAAAACUCCAGCAGUCAACUCCCCACUCAAUUUUGGGAGAGAGCAGGGAGCAGUAGCUAGCUAUAGGUGCUACGUUUAUGUUUCCAACACUUAAAUGUGGGCAAGAAAUGAAACGUGUGCAACAUUAUUUCACAUAAAUGCAACUAGUAAUCUAUGGAAAGAAGUGUUAUAUAUGGACUUGCUCCAUUUUCUACCUCCUUCAACACGCUUUUUGGAAUGGGAGAUCAUGAUCUCAGACCAACCCCCAAUGUAAUUAAAUUUCUUUUACUAUAUAUUUAUUUUAUCAAAUGUUUCUUUUCAACUCCAUGUAGAUAUCCAUAAAGUUAAUGGUUAGUUGGUUUUAAUUUAUAUGACACUGUUCAAUAUUUUUGAUGAUUUGAGUUGUAAAAAUAAAAAUUGUAAAUGCUAAAUGUUUAAUUUAUAUGAUUAAUGAUGGCCUAUAUGUCUAUAUGUCUUUGUUGGCACAAUGGCCAUAUUUGGCUUAUGUUUUGGCAUAUUUUGGUAUGUUUAUAAGUUGUCUUAAUAUGGUUGAUAUGUGGCUUGAUUUGUGGUUGAAUGAUAAAAGGUAAUAUGAUAACUAAACGUAUAUUUGUUAUAUGUGUCUUGUGAUAGAAUGGUUGUGUUUAGGUAAGUAAAUUAUUUGGUAUGUAUUGGUGCAAAUAUGCAUGUAAGUUAGUUGAUUAUUUGGUCAAAUUGAAUACAUGAUUAGGCCUGUUUAUACAUUGUCAUUUGAGGUGCUUAAGGGCAUAUUAGUUGUAUGAUAUUAUAUCAGAUGUAUAAGAGUUGUUUAUGCUUGAUUUGGAUGCCUUGUAAUGGCUUGCAAGUAUGUGCAAUGUUGUAUGUAGGUACAUGCCAAUUUGGGUGAGAAAAAUGACUUGUAAAAUGACUUAUUUUCGUCCACACGGGAAGAGACACAGACGUGUGUCUCAGCUAGGGGUGAGCAAAACUCGAUUCGACUCGAAAAAAUCGAAAAAAAAUUCGAAUUUUGAGUUAAACAAAUCGAGUUAUUCGAAUCAACUCGAUUUUUUUUCGAAUUUCGAGUUUGAAUCGAGUUGAGUUUUCUAAUUCAAAUAACUCGAAUAAUUCGAAUAAUUCGAAUAUCAAACUAUAAUAUUUUACAUUUUUACCCCAAACUCCCAAACCUUUUUACUUUUCCCUCAAAACUUUUACUCCUUCCCACUUUCCCCCCAAAACUUUUACUCCCCUCCCCUCCCAACCCCCCAAUCUACCCAAAAUCCAUUUCCCACCAAAAUUUUACUCUCCCAUUUAUUUUUUCUCAAAAUUUUACUCCCCAAAACCCUCAAAACCUUUUAUUUUCCCCCAAAAUUUUUACUCCCUCCCACUUUUCCCCUAAAACUUUUAUUCUCUUCCCAUCCCACCUCCCAUUUAUUUCAAACCCUCCCCCUCCAAUUUUUUUUAAAUAUUUUCCCUCCAAAAUUUUACUCCCCCUAUUUACUUUCCCUCAAACUUUUAUUCCCCAAAGCUUUUUAUUUUUCCCCUAAACUUUUACUUCUCACACUUUACUCUCAAAUAAAAAAUCAAAAUUAUCCAAAAAAAAUCACUAAACAUAAAUAGUAAUAAUUUUAUUUAUAUCUACUAUUUAUAUUAUUAAAUUAAAUUUCACAUUUUAUAUUAUUUAUAUUAUUGAAUUGUUUAGUCAUAUUGAAUAUUUAUAUUAAAAUUGAAUUAUUAAUUAUGCUAUAAAAUAUUCGUGUUAAAAUUUUAUACUGGUAUUAAUUUCACAUUUUAUUUUUGAAAUAACUUUUAUUAAAAAUCAUAUUUUUACAUUUAAUAUAUUUUUUAAUUCUAAAAUACAUAGUGACAAGAAUAUGAAGAUAAUUGAAACAACUAAGCAAGCAAAGAAGCUAACCAAUAUAUAAAAAAAUUAAUAAAUAAAUUAUGAAGUGAUGAAAGUUAAUAAAAAAUUUGAUUAAUGUGGACAAAUUUUAUUACGAUGGGUGACAAUGGUUACAAGGACCCAAAAUUAUUUUUUUAAAUUUACCUCGAACAAAUAUAUUCGAUUCGACUCGAUUCGAAAAAACUUCAAAUAAAGUUAGGAUGAUAAAAUGAGAUUCGAAAACUCGAUUAACUCGAAAAUUUUUUAUUCAAUUCGAUUCGAUUCGAUCGAAUGCUCACCCCUAGUUUCAGCUGUGUGUGACACACGGCCAUAUAACACGCCCGUGUAUCCCCUGUAGCUUUCAAAGAGUUGCAAUUCAGGCUCUUACACGGCCUAGCAAACGGUUUGGUACACGGGCAUGUGGGGUUACUUUGAAGGGUACACGGCCUAGCGCAUGGGCAUGUAGCUUGGCCAUGUGGCCUAAGCCAGUGAGUUACACGAGUACAGACACACAGCCGUGUGUCCCUAUUUCGAAUGCCCACACGACUGUGUGAUCCCUGCAGUAUUGAAAAUUUUCAAUGUUUUCUGAAAAUUUCUCUGAGUUUUCGAAUUAGUCCCAACUUGUUUCUAAUGUGUAUUUUGGGCUUCGAGGGCUCGUAUAAGGGACAAUUUAUUUGUUUGAAAUCAGUUUUUAAUAUGUUUAAUGAUAUGUUAUGAAAUGUUUGAAAUUUCUGUCCAUUUGAAUUGUAAACUCUGGUAAUGCUCCGUAACUCUAUUCCGGUAACAGAUACGGUUUAAGGGUGUUACAAUUCCACUCCCAAGACCACUAGUAAAAGCCCAUGCCACACUGGCAGACUUAAACCUAUUUAAUAUUUUCUACUUCUAUUCUACACUCGGGUUGAAAUGUUGUUUGGAUUACUCUCUUGUAAUCUGCCCUAUUUACGAUACUUUGCUUUUAAGGUGUAACAUGUCCGUAUGCAGCGGACCAUUUUGGCAUACAAUAUUCGGCAGACUAUUAUUUGAGUGACCAUUCGAGUUUACGACCUCCCUUAUAUGAUGGUUCCUUACGAAACUAACUCUCUGGCGGGUAUACUCGCAAUAGAUCCUCCUCAAAGAGAAAUAGUCUUAACAGACAUAACUGUCACUUGGAUAAUCCUUAUUAAUACCUCUUUUUGGCAGUUCUUAAUGGCAGAUCCUUAUCUACGAUCCUAAGAUAAAUCCUCUUUCAUUUGCUUAUAUACAAGGCAAUACCGACACAUCAUUCCCAUAUGUAAUUCUUGUUGGGUUAGACCAUAUGCCCUACUGGCUUCCAUGUUUACCAUUUUGGCAGACUACCCAGUGUUUAUUAUCUUGAUAAACUACCUCAUUUUUAUUGUCCCGGUAGACUAUCUUGUUUUUGUUGUCCUAGCGAACUACCCAAUAUUUAUUAUCCCAGUAGACUACCUCGUUUUUAUUGUCCCAAGGAACUAUCUCAUGUUUACUAUCCUGGUGGACUCUCUAUGUUGCCAUAGUCGAGCUAUGGUCUUACACAUCAUACCCCAUGUUUAAUGUCCUGACGAACUCUAUUGGUUUCCAUAGUUGAGCUAUGGUCUUACACCUCAAACCCUAUGUUUAGUGUCCUGGUAAACUCUAUUGGUUGUCAUAGCCGAACUAUGGUCUCACACCUCAUACCCCAUUACAGCCCAUUUAUUCCACCUCACUUCUAACCUUGAUGCUCCAACACCGCAGUGUCCCUUCCACAAGGCCUAGAGCUUCGCAUAUCACUGUUUAUACCCAAAAAUUUUUAGAUUGAGGUAAAUGGAAACUCCAUUUCCUAAACCAUCCGUCCAAUCCUCUACAUCACCAAAUCUUAACUUCAUCUAACUUGUCAAUAAUUUUUCCUCCGUACUCCACUGUUAUAAACAUGCAAUACAUGCAUUUCAAAAACAUACUAAUAUGGAGUACGCUACCUUUUAGGCAUGAAAUCAUAACCAUAUCAUGUAUAUCAAAAUACAUGCGCGAAUACUCAUAUACCUACAUUAUCUUAUACAUGCAUAACAUUCUCAAUCAAUAAAGAUCAUUUAACAACCAGAAAGUUAGUGGUGUCGAAAAUAGUGGUUUCGAAACCCUAUUCUCCAAUGAUCGAGUCUGUAAAUAUUAUUAAACAAUAUUUACGAGUUAACUAUAAUAUUAUUAAAAUUUGGUCAAACGAAUUCAUUAAUUGGAUAGUUAGUUAGGGUACAAGUGUAACAACCUGAUUUUAGUGGGAUCGAAAACAACAGUUUUAAAACCUCGUAAUUUAAAAAUCGAGUCUGUAAAUAUUAUUUAACAAUACUUAUGAUUCUAACAUAAAUUUAAAUUGGAUUAAGAUCUGAUAAAAUAUCUAAUUUGACAAUUAGUUAAGUCAAGUGGUUUGACCCUAAAGUCAGUGAUUUUGGAAAAUGAGGAAUCAUGACCUUGUUUUCAUAAAUCGAGCUCAUAAAUAUCUUUAUUAAAUAUUUAUGGAGUUUUAUAUAAGUGAAUUAAAUGUUGGUCCAAAAGUUUUAAUGAUUAUAUGGUUAAUUAGGGUACAAGGACUAAAUCGUAAAAGUGAUAAAAUUAAUCGCUAUUAAUUUUUAUUGAUUAAAAGAACUAAAAGAGUAAUUAAUCAAAGAUUAAAGUGGAAAUAAUUCCAAUAUGGAUGCUAAUAUAUGGUUGAGUGAUGUUUAGGUUGUGAUUAAUGUUAAAAUUAUUAUAAUUAUAUUAAUGUAAAAAUUUAUAAAGGAUAAAAUAAUAAAAAAAAGUUAUCAUCACCAUAAUUUUUGCUUCUUUCAUCGAAACCACAAAGAGAAGAACCAAGUAGUCAUUUUUUUUGCUUCAAGUGCUUUCAGCCAUUGCAUGGUAAGAUUUUCAAAGCCCAUUUUUAGUAAAUUUUAUGUUUUUAAUAUCGUUGUAGCUCAAUGUAGAUAAUUCAUAUCUUAUUUAUCAAAAAUAUUAAAGUUUAAAAAUGUUUCCAUUGUUAUUACUUGAAGCUUUUAAUGUUAAAUGAUUGGUUGUUAAGCUUAGAAAUGAAAAUGGACUAUUUUGUAAAGUGAAAUUGAUGUUUUUGUUAAAAGGACUACAGUGUAAAUAUUUCAAAAUUUGGUAUGAAAUUUCUAUAACUAAUGGUAAUAGAGGGCUAUAAAAGGAUGAAAUUGAGACCUGUUUAAAAAUUGAAGCUCAAAUUUGAAAGCUAUAGAUAUUUCUGUUUUAAGGACUAAAUUGAAAAAAUGUAAAACUUAGGGGACAUUUGAAAAAUGAAAUUGAUUUAAUAUAUGAUUACAAUGGGAUAUUUUAAUAUGUUUGGAAUUGAUAAAUUGAAAUAAAUUAUUAUAUAGAUUGAGAUUUGAGCUAAUAAGAGGAUAAUUGAGUAAAAGUCAAUUUUUCGGAUUAGUUCUCGAUGUUUUGUGUGUCGUUGUUUUGUCAAGUAAGUUCAUAUAUAAGUUACUAUGUUAAUUUUUUGAUAUAUUUGAUUAUAUUUAUUUUUUAUUAAUUAUAUUAAUUGUAAUUUUGAUGAUGUUGGCUUAAAAUUAAUUAUAUGUUUAACAUUAGUAGAUGACAUGCCAGAAUUAUAUAAGUUUGGAAUGGAUAUGUGGCAUAAAUGAUUUGUACCUUAUUGAGUUGGUUUAUUUGGAAUGAAUACACACAUGAGCAUGUUGUAAGUUAGAAAUGGACUGUAUAUAGGAUUUUAUAAGUAUAAGAAGUUAUUUUGGAAUGAUGGUAAUGAUGGUUCAUAGGUAAUACUUGAAUUUGAAUGUUAUAUAACAUGUAUAUAUAUAAGUCUUGUUAUGUUUAAGUGUUCACUUGAAUGUUGAUUCUUUGGAUCUAGCUUAGAGCUAGUAAAUUGAAUGGUUCAUGUCUUGAAAUUUUUAAUGGUAUGUGUGUAAACGAGAAUGCCAAUAUUUUGCAUGUCUUAGUGAAUGGUUAAUGUUCAUUUGGUAAGUAUAAGAAUGAAUAUGUAACAAGAUGGUGCAUAGUUACCUUUUCAUAUAAUGAAUAGAUGUUUGUUUGAAUAUUUGUUAUAUGUGGCAUGUAAUUAAAAGAUGUUAUACUAUCUUGUUAUGUUUAGUUUGGUUGGGAACUUAGUUGACAUUGAGCCUAUAAUGUAAUUGGCAAAUGUUUAAUAUGAAAAAGUUUAUUAUCAUGAUGGGGAAUUGUUCGAUAAUACAUGUAUUGUUUGUAUGGAAAAUUAGUGAUCUUAGGACAUGACUUAAAUGUUGUGUUAACUUGGUAUAACUUUUGUCUACAUGCUUUUAUAUGGUAUGAAAUGUUAUAAUAGUGAUUGAAAUUAUUAUCUAUUGUGUGCUUGAGCUUGUAGAAAUACAAGUGAUUGAUUAUGAGCAUGUAUAUAGGUUGAUUAUAUUUACUAUAAAUUUGGCAUGAUAGUAGAUGAUUUUAAAAUUUUUUAUUAUUAUACUACUAAGUUCUAUAUAUUACACUGUAAAUAGGCACUGAGCAAUUAAAUGUACCAAAUGAUAUAGAGAAUUCAGGAAAACGACCAUGCUAGUAUGUAUGAUAGAUUAUUGAAUUUGUGAUUGUUUGGUUGAUUAAAUUUGUGAACAUUGAGAUACCUUGGGAUAACUUAAGACAUUGUUUAGUAUAAACAUAGAGACAAAAAUCUAACCCUAUUUAUUCAUCUUUAGUUCCUAUAUUUGAGCCAGAAAAUACUUCUUGAUGAACCUCCAUACAAAACCCGAGCUAAAAAUGUUAAUUUGUAUUUUCCCUCUUUCUUUGGUCCUGAACUACAUGAUUAUAGACGUUUUUCCACACGUAUUAAGGGUUAAGUAGAUACAUCACGACAGAUUUUGUAACAACAAAGUGAAAUGGGAAAGAUCAGUGUGAUAUAGUAAUUAUAGGUUAACUUAUAAAUGCAAAAAAAAAAUUCAAAAAGAAAAUCAAAACGAGUAGAAAAAAUACUUGAAAAGAAAAAGCAUUCGUGAGUGAGAUGUAUUGAAAAAGAAAAAUAUGGUAAAUUCACAAAAAUAGAAAAACUAGUUCAUUAGGGCAUAGAAACUCGUGAGUUAGCGAUAGUUGUUGUAUUAUGCUAUGAUUUCCUAUGUGGAGAAAUAAGGCGGUGAGUGGGUAAGGGUCACUAAGGAAGGAGAAUAGGGAAUGAUACGAUAUGCCACACUAUUUUCAUGCUUGAAACUAUUUUGAUGUUUAUCAUUCUUGAAUUCCACACUUGUCCUAAGCCUUGAAUGGUACAAGCCGGAAAGCCCUAUGUGACCUAGGUAGACUUAUUCAUGAAUUGAAAUCAUAUUAAAUAAUUGCAUUUAUGACUAGUUGUAUUCUGUUAGGAUAAUCAAAUUAUAUAAUAAUCAAAUUAUAUGUAUAAUUUAUUGAUGGAUCCAUACAUUUGAAAACCUUAAUGUUUGUAUGCCUUACAAUAUACUGAACUUAGGUGUUUAAUAUCAAAAGUGGUAAGUCAUCUACAUGUCAAGAUUACGUGUAAAUAUGAAAUGCCUAGUUAUGUACUCCAAAGCCAACAUAUGUACUAUACCUGCUUAAGGGUCGUUUUUUAAUUUAUUGCUUUUCUUUGCCUUUCUUGAGGAAAAGUAAUAACUUAAGUGUAAGGGAGUUUGAUCUACUAUAAUUUGAUAUAGCGGAUUAAACUAGUUUUCGCAUUUAAAGAGCUUGAAUACGAGCAUUUUCAUUAUGUUUUAAUUAAGUUUUCAUAGUUUAGUUUAAAUGCAAUAAAAAGUGUAUUACGAGUCUUUUAUUGACCUUAUAGGCUAAAUGAGACCUAAAGGUGAGCUAAUAUACUUAAUGAGUAUGCAGAAGACCAUUAGAGGGCUUAUAAACUUAAACACUGGUCGUUGUGUUGCAACACGUGAAGUUUGAUGUUGCAACAUAGAGAGCAGAAUACAAAAAUAUCAAGAUUGUCUUCGGUGGUGUGACACAGCCAUGAGAUUUCGUAACAUACCCCUGAAGCAACCCUGAACCUAAGCAUACUACCUUCGAUGUCGCAACACAAGCACUAGGGUGUCACGACAUCGGUCCUGUACGAUAGAUAAUUAUGAGCCAAGUGUGUUUUGGUCUACACAAUUAAAUAUUUAACAUGAGAUCGUCAACUAACUUAGGGUUGAGGACGAAGACAACCUUAACUUUAUAAAUAGACUCAUUUAGCACUUGUUAUAGACAACUUUUGAUACUUUAAGUUUUUUUUGUAAUUUCAGUUUUUAAUUUUCCUUUCCUUUAGGCUUUAGGCUUAUUUUUAAUUAUUUUCCUUUUGUGUUCUUUGGAUAACGAGGUUUGUAAAAUGCGAUCAAACGCUAGUGGAUUGUUUGUGCUUCAUCUCACACAAACAUGAUUCUCUAAACUCUAUUCUUGAUUUGUGAUUUAUGUUUAUCUUUAUAUUCAAGUUUAUUGUAUUCAUGAGAUUCAUGAUGAACUAAUCCUCUUAUUGGGGAUUAGCGAUUGGAGGUGUGAGUAAUUGAUUCUUAUGUAGAGUUUUCUUAGUGGAUAAACUGUUUGGGAAAGAAAGAAUUUAAACCCUAAGCUUGAUGACCUUAAGAAGUCAAUUAGGUGGGAAUUAACCCAAAAUUGGUAUGGCCUAUCCAUGAACACCUUAGCCCUAAAUAGGUCUAGACAAUGAGAUCGAGAGAUAAGUAGUUCUUGCCUACUCAUUAGUUUAGUGGAAGAUCAAGAGAUCCUGCUAGGGUGAUGACUAGUUGAUUGAGUAGAAACUCGAAAUAGAAAUUAGUUAUGACCGCCAAAGUAAGUUAAUCACCCAUACCUAGAAUUGAUUAAAGUCUAUAAAUUAGGUUUUUCGAAGUUCUUUAUAUUUAGGUUUUUGUUAUUUUUAUUUCAUUAUUUAUAACCUAAAAAUAUUUUCUUUUAUGUUUUAUCGUACUAUAAUUUAUUUAAAUUACUAAUUAGAUCAAUUUGGAUUUAGGUUAGAAAUAAUUUAGUACUCGCCUCCAUUGGGUACGGUCAUUAGAGUACUCACCUACUUUGUUCUCGCUAUAUUACAAUUUGACCUGUAUACUUACGGACACCACUUAUUUUAUAUCUUUUGUGCAGUAUUCUUACUCUAAACGUUACUACUUCCGAAGGCAUUCAAUUUCCAUAUGUUGUUCUCUACAUCUUUAGAUAUUGUAUGAGCCAGCCUUUCCAUGCAAGACACAAAAAAGGUAGGGAGAAAGAUGAUCACUAUAACUCCCUCAACCAAAUUUAGAUCUCGAGUGUUACAUUUCUAAUACAGACUUAACAAAACAUACAAUUUUUUGAAUAUUUACAUCUUAUUUAAGAGUACUGCUCUAAUUAACUUACAACUAGAAGUACUGUAGAUAAUUUCAACCAUUGUACAAGACUUCAAAUAUAGAGAACUUACAAGUGAAUAUCAUAAAUUAAAUACAUUAUUCUAUUUGUUUUAUGCAUAAUAGACCGUAGUGAUAAUAUUGAUUAUAAUAGUGCAACUAACACGUUCCGUAUGCAUAAUAGCCCGUUCUAUCACCUCUGGCAUAGCCUUGGCGUCAUCCCUCCCAUCGUAGACCCAAAUCAACUUACUUGUAACAUGAUACACAUAAGUAAGUUCAUGAGAACUUAGUGAGUAAAACUCAAUUUACCUAUAUCGCGCCUAUACAACGCAUUUGGUAACUUCGUUGAUCCUCUGAUUGUUCUUCAUUCUUCAGCUUGUUUAUGGCGAGUACAAGGCUCUUUCAUCUUUAUGGUCCAAGAACUGACUGAACCGUGCUCUAAUACCAAAAUUGUAAUGCCAUCAACCUGAUUCGAUUUGUCGAACCUGGAUCUCGAGUGUUACACCCCUAAUACAAACUUACUAAAAAAAACAUACAAAUUUUUGUAUAUUUACAUCUUAUUUAAGAGUACUGUUCCAAUUAACUUACAACUAGAUGUGUUGUAGAUAAUUACAACCCAUACCUUGAAUUCGCCACAUAUUCUAGCUCAUUCCAACUUAUCUGUUCAUAUCCUAAGACCAUGCAGACUAUGCCAAGACAUUUCAGACGUAACCAUUUCUUCAGAGUUCGCCAUAUACAUCAUUCUUUUAGGGUUUUUCCAUACUUACCAUUCUUUAGAAUUAACCAUUCAUAUCAUUCUUUUAGAGUUCACCAUACUUACUAUUUCUCUCUUUCAGAGUCUGCCACAAGGGCAUUCCCUUCAAAUGAUAGCCACAAGGGCCUUCUUUUAGAAAACACCACGAAGGCUUUCCUUUCUAUAGAUCGCCACAAAGGCUUUUAUUUUCAUAGAUUUCCAUAAAAGCGUCUAUUUUUAUAGAUUUCCAUAAAGGCGUCCAUUUUCAUAUAUUACCACAAAGGCAUCCAUUUCUAUACGUUUUCAUCGUAGGGAUUUGCCUAAAUCACAUUACGUAAGGUUUGCCCCACAUUGUCUUAGGUUGCGCAGAAAACUCCAUUAGGUAAUAACAUUCCUUUAGAUAUUUCCAUAUGGUGCCAUAACCCACCAGCUAUGGUCUUACACGAUAUGGUGCCAUGGACUUUUCUUUCAGAGAAUCGUGUUUAAAGUCCCGACGGACCCCUUUAGAUGAGUCCAUCGCGAUGAACAGACUUAGGCUCACUUGAUAAACCUUCAUGCAUUGACCUCAUUUAAGACUUAACAUAUUUCAUUUUGAUUUAUCUCAUACAUUCCAGAAUCAUUCAUACAACCUCGUUUCACUAUCAGAACAUCCAUCACAUACUCAACUUAUCAGGUACUAUACAAACUACACAUGAAAGACUUAUUUAUUGGUCAUACUACAACAUUAUCUCUCUAUCAUACUUACCUAACUUCAGAAUUGUAGUGUGACUACUUUCUACAUAAGCAUCUUGAAUAAUAUUAUGCAUGCAUGAGUCGGCUUAAGGACUCACCUGACAACCACAAAUAGUCGUUUGAACUCUAGAUCCAUCAUUAAAGCAGGGAUUUCAACAAUCUCUGUCUUAUAAACAAAAAACCACAUAUAAAACCCAUUCAAAAUAGCCUUUACUAUUAUCUUAUAUUCAGACAACCCUCAUACGAGGCCUUACUUUUUCAUACGCUCAAACAUUUCUACUUGCAAUGCCUUAAGGCUUACCUUGACACGGAGAAAUCACUGAUAAAAUUCAGGGUUUCCCGAUCCAUCAUAAGAGAAAUCUUCUAUUUUUCUCCGGGCUUAAUUCUCAAUGUUUUGAAAUGAAAAUAAGAGAACUCUCCAUCUUUCUACUUGAAAACCUAUUGAAAUAGUCAAAGUCUUUAUUGGAACUUGAAAAAUUUCACAUCACUACUGACUUGUCUUACGAAGGGUCUAUAGCUUUCGAGGAAACUAAUUGAGUACUUUCCCUUUCUCUUUUAACUAUCUCGAUUUACGUUCAAUUAGUUCUUAACCAUCUUAAAUUAUAACUUAACAUGUAUAAUAUCACGGGGAAAAGGAUGCACUACUUCUAACGUGGGCUCGUACCUUCAGUAUCUAUUUACCUGACUACAUCCUUCUUCUAACAAAUUACAACAAUCUGCGAUGAACUGUCAACAUCUUCAUCACACAACUGUGUCUGCCCCCAUAUAUGCUAUAAAGAGAACUUGGGUAAUUACCAAUUUGCUAAUCGUACCUAUCAAAGACUACGCCAGAACUUGUGCUUGUCAGAACAGGGGCGUUAUAGGCUUGUUCAAAUAAUUCUUAUACUUAGUCAAAUUUUAUACUUAACACACUCAAAACUUAAUUUAUGUGCCUUACUUCUAUAAACAUCAUUUGAACAUUAGGGUUUCGUCAAGCGGGAUGUUACAAUUCUCCCCCACUUAAGAAAUUUCUUUCUCAAAAUUCCGAAAAUGACUUGGGUUGUUUUUGCCAAACUCAAAUUAGUGAUUGCACAAAUUCCCUUGCACACACUUCAACAUUUUCUUUCUUAUUGGAAUGCUCCCCAAAAUUCUUAAAAAGAUAUCCUUAGACUGCUUUCUUGAAUAAAAUCAAAUUUUUGAUGGUUAACACUCAAGUAUGGACACCUCACGCUUACCCCUUUUUAAAAAAUAUCAAACUUGCAUUGGAGAAUUCAAAUAGUUUUUCCUAAGGUGCCUUCUUGAGCACAUUUAUCCCUACAAAACAGAGAAUUUAACCCUUCCUCUAAAACCUUCGUCAAGCCUUCAAAUUUCUUAACAGCUUCCCUAACUUCCUUUUCUGCCUUCGUCUUCUUCGAUUUGAAGAAUUCUUAAAGGUAAUCCUAUUUCCCCUUAUUUCCCAUUGUUUCCCAUUAUUUUCUUACUUUCAUACAAGAUGUCAAGAAUGAACACUCAUGGUCAAGGUCAUGACCAACGUGGCUGAGUUUCAAUCCCUAAUUGUCCCACCAUUUUUUGUCCUCACGAACUCAAAAAUACCCUUCCAACCAUUUCCACUCCUAAAUACGAAUGUAGUAAUACCUAAGAAGAAGUGAAUUGAUUCUUGAUAGCCUGAGGCUUCUGUUUUCCAAACUUCACUUACGACCUUGAUAUACCUUCAAGGUGUUAUUUAAGUGCCAACACCUUGGGUUUCAUCCUUCCGCUCAUUAUGCUAGAGGCUGGUUUCUAUUUACCUUUGCACCUAUUCUUCUAUUCAAUGUUGAUUGAAUACGACAUUGCACCAAGGCAGUUAUUAGCCUUGUCCUAGUAGACCGUUAUUGCCUAUUGCUUAGAUUGCUGCUAACGAAAUGAACCUACACUCCUAGGAGUCUUCCAAAAAUUUUACCAACUAAAAAUAACCAAAAAAUGGGCAAAUGCUGGAUACGCCCACUUCAAUGUUUUCAAAUCUUCAUUGGAGAAAGGAAAAGUUCAUAAAGGUAGUUUGUAAGCUCGAAGAUAGGUUUGGCUUUUCCACUUGCUGGUCCCUUCCUCAAGAGCUCACUUAUUCUCAGAGUUUGCUUAUUUAGUCUAAGGUGGAAAAUAAGUAAUUUAAGUGUUUAAGUAUAGGGCAUGUUCUAGAGUUAGUGAAAUUAGUUACAAUUAGGAAUGUCUUUCAGUACUGCUUGUUGAAUCAGAGUCCUAAUGGUCAUAGAAACAGUGCCUGUAUCAAUUAGUUGGAAGAUUUUAUUGUGCUUUCAGUGCCCAAGGCUUGUCUACACAACGACAAUAUUAUCUUAGCCCAGAUCUUAACUGGGCAUGCAAGAGAGCCCCUAUUUUACUUUUACGAGUUUUGUGGGAUACGUUCCUGAAACUAGCUUAUCACUCAUCGUGCUCAUCCUUCUUCUUUUUCUUCAAGUGAAGCUAAUUCUCACAUUGAUAGUGCAUGGUAUAUUUCCAAGUCUCAUAUUCCUCCCAACCUAAAGCUAGGCAUGGACAUCAAAGCCAUUUUAGGUACCACUUGUGAUAUGGAGGGAGCUUUAAUUGCUCCUACUAGGCAGCCUAUUUCCAAGAAGUAUCAGAAGAGACUAAAGGCAAGUGAAAAUGUUUUGGUUACUAAGGAGAGUGACCAAUUACAACCCAAAUGGCGUAGACUUGGGAAAGGACUUCCAAGUCCAAAGGUUCAUUUCUUGCCAAUUUCGCCAACAGUUCCAAUGGAACCCACCUGUGCAGCAGACUCUUCUGCUCAGGUUACAGGUUCGCCUUACACAGAAAUCCGAACAGAAACCUCACCAGAUGAUCUAUCUAAGAAUCCCUCUAUUCCUCAACCACAGUUCUCUUCUUCUAUUGAAAAUAAUGAAUUUUUUCCUUGGCGCAACCUUUAUACUUCAGGACCCUCAUUUGUUUCUUUAAGUUCGAUCUUUAAAAACUAAUACAACUUGAUUCCUCAAAAAUACAGAGAGGCAUUCCAUUCUUUUAUUGUGUCCAAGCCGGGUUUAACUUCUUUUUCUUAGAUGGCCAAAUCUGCCAAAGCUUUAUCUGUUAAGAACAGGUUGUUGAGUGGAUUUCUUUAAAAGUUUCACAGUUUUCAUAAGGCCACAAUUUCCAGUUACAAUGAGUUCCUUAAGUUGAAUUCCAAGAUGAUAGAGGAGCAAUGCAGUAGGGAGCAGGCUCUUAAAAGUAAGUUUGAACAACUCAACCCAAGUAUGGUAGCGUGAAAGUUCAAAAACAAAGAGAUAGAGAAAAGUGUAGAUUGUUGGAGAACACAGUUGAAUCGUUAGAGAAGAAUGAUUCCUCCUUAAAGGAACAACUCUAAUACCAGAAGUUACUUUAUAAGGCUAAGUAGGAUAGUGUUCGCUAAUCCAACGAUAAAGCCUUCAAGAAAUAUCAGGAGUACACAAUAAGAAACUUUAUUGAGGCAUUGUCAAAGUGGAAGGCUAACCUGAUUCUCCAUGCCCAAGUGGUCGUUGGUCCUAUGGACUUCUGUCAAGUAGACUUCAACUUUCUUCUAUACGCUGCUACAUAUUCAUUAGGCUUCAAUAUUUACAACCCCAAGGGUUUCAAAAUGGAAACAAAUUACUGGUUUCUUUAUUCUUAACUCACCCAAAAUAAAGGGUGGCGAGAAUCUUGAGAAGCUUCAACAUUCAGAGUAAAUCUUGGGGGAAAUAGAGUCAACAGAAGAAGUCCACGCCAAGUCCACUAGGCAUCACUCAGGGGAAGAGGACUAAUUUCUUUCUUCUUAUUCUUUCUUAUCUUUUAUGGCCUUCUUUUUGUAUAACAUCCAUUUUAUCAAUGAAGUGAUCAUUUGCCUCUCUUUUUAAUAUAUUCAUUCAUCUUUCCUUUUCAACUAUUUAAUUUAUUAUUUCUCUACAUCCUUUACUUUACACAUAAAUAAAGUUGUUUGCACAUACCUAAGAGACUUAGCCAAGCUCGACGUAUUAUACAUAUAGGGCCCUUAACUAUUUAUGGUCUAUAAUGCCAAACUUGUAAUGUGUAACACUCCUAACCUGUUUUUAUCACCGAAUUAGGGUUAAAGAGUAUUAUUGUACAAAAUAGAACAUUCAACAUCAAAGAAAAAAUAAUUAUGCAAUUCAAAUGUUAUCAUUUCAUAACUCAAUUUAAUUAAAGUAAAAAUACACUUACCAGAUCUAGCAUGCGGGGCAAAAGAUAUAGUUUGGAAACAUUUCUGGAUCAAUUUGAAAUAAAAUAGAAAAUUUUGGAAAAGCUUGAAAAUUUUGAAAUAGGGGUCACACGGUCGUGUGACUAGGCUAUGUGGCAUAGCCCAAACUGUGUGGACAUUCAAAAUCUAGACACACGGUCGUAUCCCAGCCCGUGUAUCCACCCGAGUGGGUAAUCAAAAUAGGGCCACAUGAUUGUGUCGUGGGCCGUGUGCCAAACUGUGUAUGCAUCCGAUGUUGGGUCACACGGCCGUGUCGUAGGUCGUGUGUCAGAUCAUGUAAAACAUGCACCUAAAAUAAUAAUGACACACGACAGUGUAGGGUAUCCUUGUGUGGCAAACGAUCGUGUGACAACCCGUGUUCCAAGCCGUGUGUUUCAUAUAUUACCCCUAAAAUAAGCCAUUUCAAAUCUAAUUCUUGCACACCAAGACACAACAUUUCCACAAACACUCACAUGACCAAAACACAUUUAAAAUGUAUUUAAAACAUACCAAUUCCAUCAACCUAUAAAACUAACCAAUGUACCAACAAAAGGCACCAAAAUUAUAAACCAAACAUAAUCUCAUUCAAUAUUACAAGUUCAUUCAAUAAACUUAGAUCAAACAUACCAAUAACCAUUCCAAAAGCAUCCAUUCAACCAUGACUUACCUAAUAUAAGAUAGAACAUGCAUAAAAGCAGCUUCACCUAUUUACAACAUCAUUUGCAAACAACAUCAAUUAGGCAUCCAACCACAUUAAACUCAUCACAACUUAAAACAACUGAGAAACCAAGAUUACAUUUAAGCCCUAAACAUGCCAUUUAUAACCAUAAGCCAAAUUAACCAAAAACUACCAAAAUGAUGGAAAGAUAGUGUGAUCGUGCUCCAACGCGAUUGUAACGCCCCAAAAUUUUAAAUGUUAUUUGUGAGAUUCUACAGUAAUUAAGUCUUUGUAUCUGUGGUUAUAUGCUCUGCUUAGGUGGUCGAGGUCAGGAGUUCGAGUCGCGUUUUUAAAAGUUUUUCUAGUUUAAUUUUAAUCAAUCUCUUCUCUUGGGUUGCUGACUUAAAGUUAAUUCUGUGUAAAUCUAUGUCAAGAAUGAGCCUACUGGUUUACUGGUUAAGCAUCUGUCUAUUCCCUGGUCCUAUGUUCGAGUCUCGGUAUAUGCAUUAGGUAAUGUAUUUGCUUAAAGCCAAAAUUUUGAUCGGUGGUUAAUUAAUUAAGCGUUCUCUCUUCCUCCCAUCUUUAUUUUUUUGUUCAUUUUUUCCUUCCUUUUCAUUUUUUUCUUUUUACUCUUUUCCUUUUUUAUGGUCCAAUUGUUACUUGGUUCGCAUGGUUUGUCUGCUAUGUUGUCGGGUAAGUGCACAUGUCUUUACUGCCAAUUAUAUAGAUUGUGUAAUCGCAUUAAUCAUAGAACUUCCAUUAGACGGUAGUUCAUUAGUUCUGUCAAGGUUGUUUCCAACUUGAUUAGUUUAAACUCUCUUUUAAGCGAUUAUUCGAUUUCUUUUUAGGUGAGAAUACAGAAACCAACAAUCCUCAGCGCGAGUAAUUGCUGUUAAUUUUGUUAGUAAGUCUGGAAUUGUUGAAGGUUUUUCAUCAAAACUUUUGAUAUAGUUUUCUGCGUGUAAUUAGAAGUUGUUGCCAAUUAAAUGGCUUAAUUGUGUAAUUGGAUGGUUGUGUUAGGCUUUAGGAGUCUUCUACGUUGCUUCUACAUUAAAAAUACUUUAGGUGUGUACCAAAAACUUAAGUUUUUACGAAUUUUGGACGUUAAGAAAUAUAGUUAUCGAUGCUACACAGCCGUGUGAUAGGCCGUGUAACUCAUUAUUUACCAAAAAUGAGCCACACGAGUACGGGACACAGGCGUGUGUCCAAGCCGUGUGUGGUCAAGUUAGUGCAGGGUUCACACAGGCCAAGGACACGGGCAUGUGUUUAGGCUGUGUAACUUACUGAGUACAAGAUAGGGAUCACACAAGUUAGGGACAUGGGCAUAUGUCCAAGCCGUGUGACUCACUGUUUGCAAUUUUAGACCAUACGGGCCGGCGACACAGGCAUGUGUUAGGCUGUAUGGGGCAUACGGGUAGGCACACGAGCAUUUGAUAGGCUGUGUAGGGUUAUACGAGCAUACAGGUCAGAUUCAAAAGUUAUCUCUGAGGUCGUAAGCAUUGUCUAAUGCGAAAGUCAGCUUUUUGUAGUGCAUUGAUGACCCAUAUUAAAUUGUAUGUGUUGCUAUCUGAUAAAUCUAAAACUGGACUAUGAGUAUAUAAAUGGAUACUAAAUAUGAUGACUGUUGGUGAUAUUGAUCUGUACCACCUUAAUAUGAAUUGGAUCUUAAUAACCGUAUGUACAAUCUGACAUCUGUAAUGUACAUUUGCAAUGGGUGGGAAUUGUGAAAAUGAGGAAGUAAUAUAUUCUGAUUCAGUGGCUUGGCCAAUAUCUAUAUGUUAAUCUGGCACUUUAGUGCAACUUAUUCUGGUAGCUAGUCUGCAACUGCUUGAAUGUGUCGGACCGACACUAUAUGGUGUCUAGGGCUGUAGGGGUUUAAAACUCCCUUAUCGAUGUGUUGAGGUGGUCAGAGAUGGUGUGUAUCGAUCUGUUUCUGAUCUGCUCUGUAUUUAAAUUAGAUUUGUACUACCAUUCAAUUGAUGUGUAACAUUGUACUGGAAAGUCUCUAAUUCUAAAUAGAACUUUGACUUAGGAAUAUAUUGUUAUACUAUGGUUCUAGUUAAAUCUAUAAUGUUUAUACACUGAAUUCUCUACUCAUUUUGUUGUUGACUAAAUUUUAGGUAACUCACAAUCCUGAUCGGAUCGACGUAGUGGGAGCUUGAUCAACUUGCUUAAUCACCCCUCUUAUCUAUAUUAUUAGUAGUUGCAUUAGUCUCUUUUGUUAUAAGUUUACAAGAUUGUUGGGUUUCGACUAAAGUUUAUGAUUGUUCACUUUGUCAGAAAGUUUUAAUUAUGUUAUAUAAGUCGAUUUUUCAAGCAACAUAGAUGUAACUCUUUGGACUUGGCCUUGACGCCCAGGACAAGUAUAAGGUGUUACAUUUAGUGGUAUCAGAGUCAGGUUAAUCAACACUCGGAUUAUUUUUUGGGCUUAUAAUGUGUGCCAAAAGAUAGAUAAAUGAAAAUAGAAAAUCUGAGUCAUUCUAAAAACUAAUUUUUAUAAAUAAUCGAUCCUCUAAACCCGAACCUAUAAGUAUUUUUUUGUUGUUAUGGUGAUUAAUGGAAACACUGUAGUGAUUAAACUGUUAUUUGUUUAAAUACACUGAUAGAACUGGAAGAAGUACUAUGUUGAAAUCCUGAACUGAUAUAUGUACUCUGACAUUCUAGAUAGAUUACCAUUAUGAAUUCGCUCAGUAGUCAUGAAUGUGGAUUUCGUGGGCGUUGUGGACAUAGAGGAGGAGCUCGAGCGGAGUCAUCCUCUGUGGGCAGGAUGCCCAAUCUGGAGACCAGCGAGACAGUUUGUACUCCUACUGCUGAGACGAUGUCUCAUACUUCAACGGCUGUGGAUGAUGCACUCUCCCAGGCUAUAAUUCAAGCAUUGGAAAGGAUCAUCUAGACCCAUUCUUGAUCUAGAGGCCGUGGGCCAAUUACUGAACGACUUCGGUCAAAUGGUGCUGAGUUGUUUCAGGGCAUCAUUGGAGUGUUGUACUCCCACUCAAAAAUUGAGGCAUGCCGUGUCCCUACUCUGGAUAAAGCCUAUCAGUGGUGACUAACGGUUGAGCAAGGUGCUCAGCCUGAGUAGGUUAAUUGGGACUAUUUUAAAAGUGCCUUCUAAAGUAACUAUAUGGGGGUGAGUUAUGUGGAGGCUCGUUGAAACUAGUUUAUGAACCUGGUUCAAGGUGAUCAAUCUGUGGCCGAGUAUAAGGUCGAGUUUCUGAGACUGAUUAGGUACGCGCGGGCUCUGGUAACAUUUUACUAUGAUAAUGCGUGAGGUUUGAGGAAGGGUUUCGUUAUGAUCUGUAGGUUCCAAUAGCUCCUCAGAGGGAGCGGGUUUUUGCGGCCUUGAUUGAUAAGGCUAAGAUAGUGGAAGAGGUGAAACGUAAUGAGUACGAGUGGCAUGACCACGACAGAGAUUAGAGUAAGACUAAAAGGAAUUCGAAUCCCUCUAGUUCUAGGUAGCGCCUUAAGAAACGGGCGAGGUUCGAAAGGCCUCCGAGAUCUGACGCACUAGCUUCAGUUAUCGACGUUCAACUCUGUAGCGACUGUAGGAAGCGUUAUCUGCACGAGUGCUAGAGAAAGUUAGGAGCAUGCCUCUAUUGUGGGUCGAUGGAACAUCGAGUUAGGGAUUGUCCUUGUCAACCAAAUCAAGUGACAAUUGUGGCAUCGACUUCUAUUCCAGGUCAUGUUCAACCUCUAAGAGUAGGUCAGCAACCAGUACAUUCUUUAUUUAUUUUGUUCCAUACUUCGGACUCAUUGACAUUCUGUCUACUCACUCAUAUAUAGCUAGUACUAUUUCUACAAAUCUAGGUAUAACUGUUGAGAAUACUGUUAGAGAGUUUUCUGUGAUUAGUCCUUUGGGUCAAUUGUUUCGUACAUAUAAGGUAUAUAGACGAGUACCCUUGAAGAUUCAGGGUAUAGUAUUUUCGGUGGACUUGAUGGAGUUACUUUUUGAUGAAUUUUAUUAGAUUUUAAGAAUGGAUUGGUUCGUAGAGUAUCGGGUCAAUCUAGAUUGUGCAUCUAAAAGAAUUACUCGAGGAUGGAUGAAAAUAAUGAGGUUGUUAUUGUUGGUGAGCAUCGAGAUUACCUUUCCAAUGUAAUCACCACCUUGCUAGCGGAUAAGCUAGUCUAGAAAGGGUGCGAGGCAUACAUUGCCUACAUAUCCGAUACAUUUCCUACAAACCUUUCUGUAGGGAUAUUCGUACUGUAAGGGAUUUCUCGGAUGUUUUUCUUAAUGAAUUGCCUAAAAUACCUCCAAAUAAAAAGGUUGAAUUUAGCAUUGAUUUGUUACCGGGUACUGCUAAUGUUUCUAUUACACCCUACCGCAUGGCACCGAAGGAACUUGCAGAGCUAAAAGCUUAGCUCCAGGAACUUCUCGAUAAUAGGUUUAUCCGACCGAGUAUGUCUCCGUGGGGAGCACCAGUGCUGUUUGUUAAAAAGAAGGAUGGGUGGAUGAAAAUGUAUAUAAAUUACCGACAGCUAAGCAAGUUGACAAUAAAGAAUAAGUAUCUGCUACCGAGGAUCGGUGACUUAUUCGACCAGUUCUAUGGGGCAUCUAUUUUUUCUAAGAUCGAUCUCUAUUCUGGUUACCAUCAGCUCAAGGUUAAAGAGAUUGAUGUGUACUAGACCACCUUCAGGACUCGUUAUGGACACUUCGAGUUCCUGGUGAUGCCUUUUGGGUUGACGAAUGCCCUGGCAGCAUUCAUGGAUUUAAUGAAUCGAGUGUUCCAAAUGUAUUUGGAUCAGUUUGUGGUAGUCUUUAUUGACGACAUACUGAUUUAUCCCAAGACCGAGUUAGACCAUGAUGACUACCUUCUUAUUUUCUCCAGACACUCCGAGAAAAGCAAUUGUAUGCUAAGUUUAGCAAGUGCGAGUUUUGGUUGCAGGAGGAUUUUUUUCUUGGACAUGUGGUGACUGCUGAAGUGAUCUAGGUCAAUCUCAAGAAAAUAGAAGCUAUAGUUGAGCGGAAACAACCGAGAAAUGUGUUUGAGCUUCGGAGUUUCCUAGGCUUAAUAGGUUACUACUGAAGGUUUGUCGAGGGAUUCUCUCUCAUUGUGUCACCUUUGACGAAGCUACUGAGUAAGAACACUCUAAUUGUGUGGUUUGAAGAAUAGCGGUCUAGUUUCGAAAAGCUCAUGUUUGUUCUGAUGCAAGCUUUUGUUCUAGGUCAACCUAAAUCGGGUUAGGAGUUUAUGGUUUCCAGUAAUACAUUGCACGUUGGUCUAAAAGGUGUUUUGAUACAAGAUGGUAAAGUGGUAGCUUAUGCGUCGUGACAACUUAAGAUGCACGAGGGUAACUACCUACGAUUUUAAGCUGGAUGCAGUUGUGUUUGCUCUAGAUAUUUGGAGGAAUUACCUUUAUGAUGAGAGGUAUAUCAUUUACACUGAUCACAAUAGUCUUAAGUAUUUGUUAACUAAAAAGGAGUUAAAUCUCAAGCAGCGCAGGUAGGUUGAGUUGCUUAAGAUUAUGACUGUACGAUAGAAUAUCAUCUUAGUACAGCUAAUAUGGUAGCCGAUGCUCUUAGCCGUAGAGUGAUGACUAACCGAAAAAUGAUGUUUGCUUGUCUAAGUUUAGUUGAGGAUGGAGGAUCGUUAGCUCAAUUGCAGGUUAAACUGAUUAGGUCGAAUAGAUUCUGGUUAAACAAUUGAGUGAUGAGUUUCUAGUUCAGCGACUGCAACAGAUUGGUUCGAGUGAAACUUCAGAUUUUAGUUUAAACAGCGAUAAAGUGUUGUGUUUUGGGGGUCAGAUUUGUGUGCCUAAUGAUAAUAAGCUGAGGCAAUCGAUUCUGCAAGAGGCGCAUAGUAGCCCUUACGCUAUGCAUCUUGGUGGAAAUAAGAUGUAUCGGGACCUCCGAGAACUUUAUUGGUGGCUUGGUCUAAGAUGGAGAAUGGUUGCCGUCGUAUCACACUGUCUGAUGUGUCACAAGGUUAAAGAAAAACAUCAUUUGCCCUCAGGAUUACUUCAGCCGGUUAUGAUUACUCUAUGAAAAUGGGAGCGUGUAACAAUGGAUUUUGUUAGUGGGUUACUUUUAACCCCCACUAAGAAAGAUUCAGUUUGGGUCAUCAUUGAUCAAUUAACCAAAUCCGCUAAUUUUAAUCCUACCAAAACAUAUUACUCAUUGUAGAAGCUCGGUAAGCUGUAUAUUGCUGAGAUCGUAAGACUACACGGGUUUCACAUCUUGAUUAUCUAUAAUAGAGAUCUGCAUUUCACAUCUUGAUUUUGGAAAAAGCUUCAUGAGACUUUAGGCACCCGACUCAAUUUCAGUACUACGUAUUAUCCUCAGACCGACAGACAAUCUGAGUGAGUUAUUCAGAUCUUCGAAAAUAUGUUUCGAGGUUGUGUAAUAAAUUUCCUGGGUAGUUAGGAAGAUUACUUACCAUUGGCUAAGUUUGCAUACAAUAACAGCUUCUAGUCUAGUAUUCAGAUGGCACCUUACGAGGUUCUAUAUGGUCGUAAGUGUCGUACUCCAUUGUGUUGGACUAAGUUAAGCGAACAUUGGGUUUUGGGUCCUAAGCUAGUUCCUGAAACUAAGAAUACUGUCAAGCUAAUACGAAACCGUCUUAAAGCCACUUCUGAUCGACAAAAAUCUUAUGCCGAUUUAAAGAGAAAAGAUAUUGAAUUUUCUAUAGGCGAUCAGGUGCUUCUGAAGGUGUCACCAUGGAAAAAGGUCCUUUGAUUUGGACAUAAAGGCAAGUUGAACCCGAGGUUUAUUGGACCAUAUCGUAUCUUGAAACAUGUCGAACCUGUUUUCUAUUAAUUAGAAUUACCACUGGAGUUGGAACAGAUUCAUGAUAUGUUCCAAGACUCAAUGUUGAGACAGUAUCGAUCUAAUCCGUCGCGCAUUGUUCCGAUUGAGGAAAUUGAGGUAUGACCAAACUUAACUUUUGAGAAUGAACCUAUUCAGAUUUUAGAUCGUGACGUUAAGGUGUUGAGGAAGAAAAUUGUUCCUUUAGUUAAGGUUUUCUAGCGGAAUCAUGGCAUAGAGGAAGCUACUUGGGAACCUAAAGAUUUGAUUUGACGACAAUACCCGUAUCUGUUUGAGUCAAGUACAUUUUGAGGCUGAAAUUUCUUUUAGGGGGAGAGAGUUGUAAUGCCCUAAAAUUUUGAAUGUUAUUUCUAAGAUUCUGUAGUAAUCAAGUCUCGUUAUCUGUGAUUAUAUGCUCUGUUUAGGUGUUCGAGGUCAGGAGUUCGAGUCACAUUUUUAGAAGUUUUUCUAGUUUAAUUUUAAUCAAUCUCUACUCUUGGGCCAUUGACUUAAAGUUAAUUCUGUGUAAAUCUGUGUCAAGAAUGAGUUGCUAGUUCACUGGUUAAGCAUCUGUCUAUUAUCUAGUCCUAUGUUCGAGUCUCAGCCGUGUGGUUGGCUGUGUAACUCACUGUUUACUAAAAAUGAGCCACACGAGCGUGUGUACAAGCCGUGUGUGGUCAGGUUAGUACAAGGUUCACACGGGCCAAGGACACUGGAAUGUGUCUAGGUCGUGUAACUCAUUGAGACCAAGAUAGUGAUCACAUGGGUUAGGGACACGGGCAUGUGUCCAGGCCGUGUGACUUACUAUUUCUUUCAGAGUCAAUACGAUCCAGAGACACAAGCAUCUGUCAAGCUGUGUGGGACACACGGGUAGGAACACGGGCAUGUACCAGGCCGUGUAAGGUUAUUCGGGCAUGUGGGUUAGAUCUGAAAGUGAUCUCCGAGGCCAUAAGCGUUAUCUAAAGCAAAUGUCAGCUUUCUGUAGUGCAUUAAUGACCUGUAUUAGACUGUAUGUGUUGCUAUUUGAUAAAUCUGAGACUGAACCGGCACCCAUUGAUUUUGCACCUUCUAACAUCUCGGGUUGAGAAUUCUCGUCACACUUUUUUUUUCAUUCACAAAUUUUUUUUUGUUAUGGAUUCCUUGUCGAUUCUUCCCCUCGUUCUUUUUUUCUUGGGCUUGGCUACAUACCAAGCGUGGAUCCAUAAAAUUCCAAAAUUUUUAGAAAGUAGCUACUGUUGGCCCCAUUUAGAAUGAGAUCACAACAGAUUUGAUAGAGCCCAUCAAUUUGCUCUUUUAAGGGCUCUUCAAAAACCAAAUGAUUUUCUAUGGGUAUGUAAAUGGAUACUGAAUAUGACGACUAUUGGUGAUGCUGAUAUGUACCAUCUGAAUAUGAAUUGGAUCUUAAUGGCUGUGUGUACAUUCUGAUAUCUGUAAUUUACAUUUGCAUUGGGUGGGAAUUGUGAAAAGGAGAAAGUAAUCCGUUCUGAUUCAGUGGCUUGGCUACAAUCUAGAUGUUAAUCUGGCACUUUAGUGCAACUUGAUCUAACAGCUGGUCUGCAACUACUUGAAUAUGUCAGACCGAAACUAUAUGGUGUGCAAGGCUGGAGGGGUUUUAAACUCCCUUAUCAGUGUGUUGGGGUGAUCGAAAAUAGUGUGUAGCGGAUGUGGGUAGGAAUCACUGUAUUUAUUUCUGAUCUAUUCUAUAUCUGAAUUAGAUUUGUACUGACAUUCAAUUGAUGUGUAACAUUAUACUGGAGAGUCUCUAAUUCUGAAUAGGCUUUGACUUGGGAAUUUAUUUUUAUACUAUGCUUCUAGUUAAUUCUAUAAUGGUUAUACACUGAGUUCUCUACUCAUUUUGUUGUUGACUGAAUUUCAGGUAACUCACAAUCCUAAUCGGGUCGGCGUAUAUGCCCCUGUAUAUGCCAAAAGGGGCACUUGGGCGAUUACUAAUUCGCCAAUUGUACUUAUCAAAGACUAUGCCAAACCUAGUGCCCACCAGAAUCGGGGCAUUACAGGCUUGUUCAAAGAAUUCUCAUACUUAGCUAAAUUUUAUACUUAACACACACUCAAAACUUACUCUAUAUGCCUUACUUCCAUAAACAUCACUUGAAAAAUAAGGAUUCACUAGGUGGGAUUUUAUAAUCACCUUAACGAAGACCUCUAUGUGGCCUAAACUCAUUUGUAAGCCCACCAUUCUGUAGAAUCUGCAUAGAACUCGAGCUCACACCGAUCAACUUUAAUCGCUAACCAACCUUUAUUUCCAGAUUUAUUACGCAUAAAGUGAAUUAUCUCUUACGCUAUAAUAAUAUUAUCCGUGAUACAUCGUCUUGGGACAAAACUCGAUUGAUUAGAGAGCAUUCAAUUAGGCAUGUAAGGUUUCAGUUGGUUCACAAUCACAUUAGAAACAAUUUUAUAUAGCACUGUACACAAACUGACUGGCUGAAUUUGAUGAAUAUAUUUUGGUUUCUCUUUUUUUGGGAUAAGUACAAGCAGAGUUUUAUUGAUCCACCCUUCGAACUUGGUACCACCCAUAAUGCUUCUAACAAAGAAAAUAUACUAAAUUAUUAGUUUUAAUUCUACUAAAAUACUACUAGAAACACAUCCUAAGUUAGUAGAGUUGGAAUGGAAAGUUUCGUAGGGGUGACGAGACAUGAUGAGCAGUUUCUAACCUGAUUUAUUCUUGCGACUAGGCAUUCAUUCCUUAAUUUAGUUUUUUCCUCGUUGGUUGUAAAGUUUCCAAAUUCUUCAUAUGUUUCCCAAUCUUAUUCCAUAGGUUUUCUUCCUUGAUGUUGAGUCCAUAGAACCUUACAUUGCAAAGCUUGUGUUUUGACAACUCCUUUAGUCAUUCCUCCGAAAUAAUGUUUUACUCUUUCACCAUUGAUGAGAAAAGAUUGUCCCUCAUUUUCAAUGAGUUUUAUUGCAACUUGAGGUGUUACUUGAUUUAUAAUGUAUGGUCUUGUCCAUCUUGAUUUAAUUUUUCCAGAAAAUAAUGUUAAUCUUAAAUUGAACAAGAGUACUUUCUAUCCCAGUAAGAACUCUCAUUUUUUUAUUCUAGCAUUAGGCUAAACUUUACUCCUUUCUUUAUAUAGCUUUGCAAUUUCAUAGGCCAUAAAUCAAAAUUCUUUUAAUUCUUACAACUGGAAUAAUCUCUCUUUCUUAACCAGUUCAGGAUCUAAAUUCAAUUCAUUUAUUGCGCAAUAUGCUUUCUUUUCCACCUCAAUUAACAAAUGGCAGUUUUUCCGUACACCAACUUGUAAUGAGACAUGCCUAAAGGGUUUUUUACACUGUUCUAUAAUCCCAUAGUGCAUCAUCUAAUCUUAGCUACCAAUCUUUUCUUUUCGAAUUGAUGUUUUUUCCAAUACUUGUUAAUCUCUCGACUAGACACCUCUACUUGUCCAUUAGCCUGAAGAUGGUAUGUUGUAGUUAUUUCGUGUCUUACACUGUAAUUGGCUAAGACAAUUUUAAAUUGCUUGUUGCAGAAGUGUGAUCCUUUAUCACUUACAAGAGCACGAGGUGUUCCAGAUCUUGCAAAAAUAUUUUUUCUUAAGAAUUUGACCACUGACUUCGUAUCUUUUAUAGCUAGUGUUGUUGUCUCAACCCAUUUAAAAACGUAGUCUACAACUAACAAGAUGUACUGAUUUCUAAGGGAAAUUGGGAAAGGUCCCACAAAAUCAAUUUCCCAAAGGUCAAAUACUUCUACUUCUAGGAUUUCUGUCUGUGGCAUUUCAUCCUUUUUAGAUAUACUUCCGGUCCUUUGACAUCUAUCACACCCCUGCAUAAAUUCGCCAGCAUCUCUAUUUAUAGUUCGUCAAUAAAAUCCUGAUUGUAAUAUUUCCUAGGCUGUUCUCUUUCCUCCCAAAUUUCCACCACAUGAUGAGGUAUGGCAUUCUUGUAAGAUGUCAUUUAUCUCUUCCUCAACCACGCAUCUUCGAACUAAUUGAUUGGCGCAUUGCUAAAAAAUAUAUGAUUCUUUCCAAAUAAAUUUUUUCGACUCAUGCAUGAUUCUUUUCUUUUAUUGCCAUGAUCGUUUAUUAGAAAAAAAUCAUUUGGCAAUAUAAUUCACAUAAUCCGCGUACCAUGGUAUCUUAUUGUCCUUAUACCUUUCUUGAUGCAUUGCUACCCUGAAUAGCUACUCAUCAAUAAAGGUUUCUUUUAUUUCUUCAGAAUUUUAACUUUCGUCUCAUUUUCUAUUCUAGAAAGAUGAUCUGUAAUUAGAUUUUUCGUUUCUUUACGAUCCAGUAUGCACAGAUCAAUCUCUUGAAGCAAUAACACCCACCUCAUUAAUCUAGCCUUUAUUUCCUUUUUUUUCAUAAGAUAUUUCAAUGUAGAGUGAUCAGUGUAGACAUAAACACUAUUUGCCAUUAAAUAAGGAUGAAAUUUUUCGCAUGCAAACACAAUAGUAAGAAUUUCUUUUUCAAUAGUAGUGUAAUUACAUUAUGUUGAAUUCAAGGUCUCACUUGCAUAAUGAAUGGUGCAAAAUAUGUUGUUCCUUUUCUACUCCAGUACUACUCCUACAGCAUAAUCAUUAGCAUCGCACAUUAUAAAAAAAGGAUUCGACCAAUCAGGGGUAAUAAUAAUAGGUGCAAAAAUAAGUUUUUAUUUUAUUACCUCAAAAUCUUAGAUGCACUCUUGAUUAAAUAUGAAAGGUAUUUCCUUCUAAAGAAGUUGAUUCAACGAUUUGGAUAUGUGAUGACAGUCUUUUAUAAACUACUUAUAAAACCCAGCAUGUCCUAAGAAAUUUAGUACCCUUCGGAUCGUCGUGGGAUUAGGAAGGUUCUUUAUGACUUCAAUUUUUUCUUUGUCCACUUCCAACCGUUUUCUUGAUAUUUGAUGUCUUAAAACCAAUCCUACUUUUACCAUAAAAUAGAAUUUUUUCCUAAUUGAGCAUCAAGUUGGUUUCUUCACAUCUUUUCAAUACUUUCUCAAGGUUAUCCAAACAUUCCCGAAAGGAAUCCCAUAUACCAAAAAAUCAUCCAUGAAUACAUCGAGACCUUAUUGCAGCAUAUUGGCAAAAAUAGAAGUCAUACAUCUCAUAAAUAUUAUUAGGGCAAUACAUUCAAAUCAUAUUGAUUAUCUCAAAUAAACAUAGAGUACUUCAUAAAUGUAUAAUUAUUUCUCAAUUUUAACAAAAAAUCAUCCAAACAUAGUCAAUUCAAUUUAUGAUUAACAAAUACGUCAUUUCUCAGAUCAUAUACGGGCUUAUGUAUGCUCCAAUACCAUCCAGAAUUUAACUAGGAUUAAUUUGCAAUAUUUCCAAAAUUUUAGUUUGAUUAUAAACCAAAAUACUUCUAAGCUCAAUUUAAUCAUCAUAAAUCAAUAGUUAAUCACUAUUCAUAGAAUAUAUAUGAAAACGAAACUUAAAUCGGGUCCAUAGGACCUUAAAAAUAGUUUGGAAACAAACAAGGACUAAUCUAAAACAAAACAAAAAAAUAUGGUAAAAUUUGAAAUCAGGGGUCACACGACCGUGUGACAGAGCCCAAGCCGUGUGGGUCAGGAACAUGGUUGUGUGGCAAAACCGUGUACAAUUCAAAGUUAGGGGCACAUGGUCGUAUCUUCAGGCCAUGUAAUAGCUUGAUGUCGUGUGGGAAAACGUGCACCUAAAAAUCAAUAAGGCACACGACCAUAUGAAGAAGCCGUCUGUGGCACAUGAUUGUGUGGUAGACCGUGUCCUAGGCUGUGUGCAACCAAAAUGACUUCAAAAAUAAGUAAUUUCAAACAAAAUUUCUUAGGUAUCAAACCCAACCAUUUGCAACCAUUUCCACCUAUUCAAAAACACAUCCAUACAUAUCAAAAACAUACUAAAAACAUUCAACCUAAGUGCUUAAUCAAUGUACCAUCAUUGGUACCACAAUUCAAACAUUUAGAAUCCAAAUUAUAUACAUCAUUUCCCAAAACACAAAACAUGUAUCUAUCAAGCAUCUCAUAACCUUAAACCAUAAUAAAAACCAAACUUGGAAAUGUAUAAAUCUUACCACUUAUAUACAUAUGGUUAAAGCUUACCAAAAGAGCCAAAUAAACACAACCACAACAUCACAUAACAAAGCAUGGAACAACAUGUCUAAUAACAAGUGAAUUUGAACUCCUAGUACAUGUCACUUAUAACCUAAAUCAAAGUAAUCACAAUUUAUACCGAGUCGAUUAAGGGAUAGUGCGAGCUUCGACUUGAACUUCCAACUGAAAUAAACUUCCAAUGAUCUACAAGAAAAACAACACAAUGAAUGUAAGCAAAUCUUUGCUUAGCAAGUUUGUGUAAACUCAAACUUUAACUUUAACUUACCGUAAAAGUUGUAACUUAAACAUUUUGCAAUUAAAAUUUAUAAGCAAUGUCAUGAGUUCAUUAUUAACCUAUACAUAUCACAAGUCUCACAAGGUUAGUGAGUUCACAUAUACAAAACUUAUAACUUUAUCAUGUCAUAAAGCAUGUACUAGUAAACACAUUGGAUAUACCAUUCAUUCAACAUUUAUUCAUUUACCAAUUCACAUUUCCAUUUUAAGUGUUCAUUUCAAAUGUCCCUUCUUACAUACCUAUUCAUAUAAACAUUUCAUAUAACACUUCAUAUAAUUAUUUUCAUAUUGUCACUUCAUAUAGUUUUUUCGUUUAUAUGUUUCCGUAUAACUGAUUCAUAUAACCAUUUCGUAUAUCUAUUUCUAUAUAACCAAUUCUUAUAAUCAUUUCACAUAACCAAUUCGUAUAACCAAUUCAUAUAACCAUUUUGUAUAGCCAUUUCAAAGUGUUAACCUUAACACAACAUGAUUCAACAAUUCUAAGUCAGUAAACAACAAUAUAGGGAUAUUCAGAAUUCGUAUUUUUAUCCAUUUUAAUGAAACAAUUUAACAUUACAAGUCCGGGAAAUAGAUGAUGCUUGUAUGAGCUAAUCAGAUACAUAAAUAUAUGUGUUAGGUUACCCGUCCAGACUAAACCUUUAAAACAACCGGGCUAAACCUUUAAAACAACAAGAAUUACUAGUCCAGGCAAAAUUUAUGUCACAUGCAUAUCCGAGUCUGCAAAAAAUGUUAGAGCUUGGUCCAGAACGAGAAUCAUAUAGAAACCUUGUGUAUGAGACAUUUACUUAGUCCAUCAGAAUUAUCUUAGAAUUUGAUUUAUUAUCACGUAGUCUGAUUUCCAAUUUCAGCAGUUUAUACACAAUUAAUUAACAACAUUUAAUAUUCAAUUUUAAUUUGAAAAAUAAUAUGAACUUACCUAGACAAAAACGAUUGUGAAAACAAGGCUCACAAUUAAUCCAUUAAUUUAGCUUUUCCACGAUUCGAGUUUGAUUAUUUUGUUCCUUGAUCUAAAUAAUAUUUUUUCUUUCAAUUAAUUCAUUCAAACAAGGCUGACCCUUAAUCAUCAUUUUACACUUUUACAAUGAACUUUUACUUUUAAUUCAAUUUAGUCCCUAAACCCGAAACAUUCAAUUUAAUCAUAAAUUAAUCCAAAAAAGGCCAACCGAAUUUUGUAUAAUUCCCAUACAUCCCAUAUUCAUCAUAUUUUUACAAGAAUUUCAUAUAACUUUACUAUUUUAGCAAUUUAAUCCUUUAACAUAAAAAUUAAUCAAAAUCACUUUACAAUAUUGUUCUAUUUAAUUAUCAAGCUUAUAAAACUAUCAUAAAACUUCAAAAAAAUCACCAUUUCAUCAAUGGCAUAAUUUAAAACAUUUAAUAGUUUUACAAAUUAGCCCUUAAGUUAGCUAGAUUAAGCUAGAACAAUAUCAAAAACAUAAAAAUCACUAAAAACAUAAUUGAAAAAGCUUACCAUGCAUGAAUUAUGAACUUGGUUGAAUUUCAAGCAUUCAAAAAUGGGGUUUUAUGGCUUUAUUUCCUUCAAUUUCAGUCAAUAGAGAAAGAUGAUAGCAUUUUUACAUUUUAUUUUCUUAAACCAAAUAUUAAAUUACAAAAUUAGCCUUUUUUAACUAAAUAUUACAAUCAUGCAAUGGGCAAACUGUCUAUUAUUAAUAAUUAUGGCUAAAUUACCAUAUAAAGCCAUUCAAAUAUGUUUCUAUGCUCAAUUAACCCAUAAUAAUCAAUAGUGAUUAGCUUUUGCAACUUUCAUGAUUUAGUCCUUUUUUCUUUAAUUAACUAUCAAAUCACCAAAAUUUCCUAACCCAAUUUUAAUAUACCUAUAUUGUAACUUCGUAAAUAUUUAAUAAAAAUAUUUGCGGGCUCGGUUUAUAGAAACAAGGUCCUAGUACCUCAUUUUCCAAAACCACUUGAUUGUUGGGACAAUCACUUGUACUUAACUAUUCAUUCAAUUUGCAAAAAUUAUUAAACCAACAUUCAAUAUAGUAUCAUAAUUGAUUUGUAAAUAUUAAAUAAUAAUAUUAGGAACUCACUCAUCGGAUUUGUGAUCUUGAAACCAUUAUUUUCAAAGCCACAGAAAAACGGAUUGUUACAACCCAUCAUAGAAAUGUUGUAGUUGUAUUGCAAAGCUAACACCUCCUCCCAAUUUUGAUCGGAUAAUAAUUUUAAACCUUUCCCAUGCCUAUCCCAAUGUUUCAACAACAUCUUGCUUGAAUUUAAAUAACUUUUCAUAUGUGUUGUUUACAUGGGUCAUAGGCACAACUCAACGUAAGAAUAAUUGCAUAAAUUUAGCCCAGGUUGUAAUCAUAUCUUGAGGAAGUGCAUCUAACCAAGCUUUCGCUUGACCUUCUAAAGUAAAAGAUAUUAAUAACAAUUUGAUAACCUCUGCUAAAACACCAACAUACACAAUGGUGCUGCAAAUGUGCUCAAACUACCGGAGGAAAGCUAUGGGGUCCUCAUUUUGUUACUACCAAACCUGAUAUUUGAAGAAAUCCAUGUUAGCAACGGAUGGUUGAAUUCAAAAUAAGGACUUUGAAUAAUAGGUCGAGUAAUACUAAGGUUGUAACCAGUUCAUAUCAAAAGGAACUACCCCCUAGUGUCACGGGGCUAGACCUUUCGUCUCGCAAUCCUUACGGCCUUAGGCGAUUCGUUCGUCCAAACUCGCCCAAGUCAGCCUUAACUCAAGUGAGGAUUCUUUUAUAACUCCUCCAAGGCACCAAAUUAAAGAGCGGAAGUGAUUUUAUGCCAAAAAAAACAACAGAAAGUCACAGAAAAGAUUGCACACAAGGUGUUUGAGUAAAUGCUCUCUAUUUCUCUUAUUCACAAAGAAUAAUGAAACAAUGAAUGGAGUGAGUACAACUGAGGGGGAGGCUCUCUAUUUAUAAUUGAGCUCCCCUAAAAUCGACGGUCAAGAUACAUUUACAUCGAUGGAUGAGAUUUAACCAUAUCCCAUAAUUUUAGGAAUUUACAAGAUAAGCUUUAUCAAAUCUAAUCUAAUCUUUACAAGAUAUGACUCCCUCUAUCUUCUAAGAUUAGUUACCAUAUUAGCCUAAGUUGCCAUCUCUUCAUUAUCGGGCCAACUAGGCUUCAAUCUGACAGGCUUAUCCAAUAGCUCUUUGAAUCGGGCCAGUUCUCGUAGGCCAAAUGAUCCCCAUCUAAGCAAUAGACCUCCAUUGGAUGCAUUUGGUGCGAUGGUCACGGGCUUUGAACUACGGCCCGUGACAUUUUCCCCCACCCAUUCUCGCAACGUCCUCGUUGCGACUUUCGAAUGGCACUGACUUGAUUCUCCUCGGUCUCGUCUCGACGCCUUAGCCUUUCCCUUCCUUCGAGACUUUUGCUUCGGCUUACGUCGCUUCUUCACUCGAACCGUCCUACUCAUUUGUACAUCUCGAUGAUAAGAAGUUAUGUCACUCUCUUGUCCACAUUCUAACUUUGCUCGAACAGAAUCCUCUUGAUUCACCACACUUGGCUUGGCUUUGCCCACAGUCUCUCGGCCUCUUUGCUCAAGAACUUCGAAAGGGCCCCUACGUUCUUGCCAAGUCAACAAGUUAGAAUGCAAAACGCUAUCACAGUGUUCGAAAUGUACCUUCGCAUUUUCUCUGGUCAACUAUCCCACAUGCAUCACUUCCUUUUCCUUCAAGUCCGAUGCACCACCCACCUCUCCCAUAGGUGGAAGCUUGUCGAUGACUCGGCCAACUCCGACGCUUCACUCAACUUGAGCCUCAUUGGUCCCAGCUUCACUGUUUUCAUCGCAACUCUUUCCGCUAAGUCCGAUGACAAACUCAUCUCUUCCUUAGGUAGAAGCCCCUCCGAUGACUCACCAAGCUCAGACGUUGCCUUUCUUUUGACUCCGGCUUACUUUGGACAGUUCCGCAACUUAUGCAGACCACGGCACAAGAAGCACUUUACUCGCUUCUUUUUACUCCUCUUUGCCCUCUUGGCUUCGGCUUUUCCCUUGCUCGAACCAAGCUUCUUGGGCUCCUUGUCUACUCCAUCGUUCCCCUUGAUGACAGACUUCCUCGGAUACUUCCGCAACCUAUGCGGACCAUGACACAAGAAGCACUCCACUAGCUUCUUCUCGCUUUCGGCCUCCUUGGCUUCGACACCCCUUGCGCUCAAACCAAGUACCAAGGCCUUACCCACCGGCUUCUCCUUAAGCGCAGAUUUCUUCGGAUAUUUCUUUAACAUGUGUGGACUGUCGCAAAGAAAGCAUUUCAGCUUGUCCCUUUUCCUUUUGGGUUUUUUCUCCCCAACUCGUGGUUUCCCAUUACCACCAUUGUCGCCGUUGCCAUUUCCAUCAACAAUAUCUUCCUUGUGAUCCAUUUCACGUACACCCCUUUCCUCGGACUUGGAAGACCUAAGCUUGUCUUUCCUUAGACCAAGCUUGACCACGGACUCAGCUACCGUCAUGGCUUCCGACAACUUUUGGACACCUCUUUGUUCCACCUCCUGUCUGACCCACGGCUUCAAUCCCUUUUGAAAAGCAAGCAAUGCUUCUUCCUCGGACACAUCUGAAACUUGGAGCAUGAGUUCCUUGAACUUUUGAACAUACUCCCCCACUAUGCCCCGUUGCAUUAUCCCUUGUAACUUUGCCUGAGCUUUUUCCUCGGCAAAUUCUGGGUAAAACUGUCCCUUCAACUCACAUUGGAACUCUUGCCACGUCCCAAUCUCACAUUGCCUUUUAUCUGUGGUCCUACCUCGCCACCAUAAAAGCGCAAUGUCAAUAAGAAACAUUGAAGCAGUGUUUACCUUAACCGCAUCAUCCAUGAUGCCUUUGGCACGGAAGUAGUUUUCCAUCCUCUACAAAAAAAUUAUCCACAUCGCAUGCAGACCUUGUCCCCACAAACUCUUUCAGCUUCGGGACAUCCUCGUUACUGAGUGAUGUAUUUUCCAUUCUAUUCCCUACGGCUGCUCGACACAAGGCCAGCUCUCCCUCGAGCUCCUCUAUUCUUGUGCUCAAUGCCCUCGUCGUGGCCAUUGUUUCCUCCUUCAAAGCCAUCAUCAUGGCCUCGAGAGCAUCAUUCCUUUCCGACAGCUUGUCCCUGUGUGAAUUAAACAACUCGUUUACCUUAUCCAUUGUGAAAUCAAGAGAAAUCUUCACAUAGUUUCUGGACUGCUCCUUCCAGUUUUUUAUGUGAUCUUCGACCCCAUCAAGUGCCUCCUUUACAUCCUUCAUGGAUCCCUCGAGUUUACCCACACGUUCCUCUACUGCUGAUAAUGUCUCCUUCAAAGAAUUCCUCGCCCACCUUUGUUCGAACUCUUCUCUCGACAUCCCAACGGUGCCUUUGAACCAACAACUCGAACAUUACUUGGUUCAAACUUGGCUCGGAUACCACUUGUCACGGGGCUAGACCUUUCAUCUCGCAAUCCGUGCGGCCUUAGGCGAUUUGUUCGUCCAAACCCGCCCAAGUCAACCUUAACUCAAGUGAGGAUUCUUUUAGAACUCCUCCAAGGCACCAAAUUGAAGAGCGGAAGUGAUUUAUGCUAAAAGAAGAACAACAGAAAGCCACAGAAAAGAUUGCACACAAGGUGUUUGAGUAAAUGCUCUCUAUUUCUCUUAUUCACAAAGAAUAAUGAAACAAUGAAUGGAGUGAGUACAACUGAGGGGGAGGCUCUCUAUUUAUAGCUGAGCUCCCCCAAAAUUGACGGUCAAGAUAAAUUUACAUCGACGGAUGAGAUUUAACCAUAUCCCUUAAUUUUAGGGAUUUACAAGAUAAGCCUUAUCAAAUCAAAUCUAAUCUUUACAAGAUAUGAUUCCCUCUAUCUUCUAAGAUUAGUUGCCAUAUUAGCCUAAGUUGUCAUCUCUUCAUUAUCGGGCCAACUAGGCUUCAAUCUGACAGGCUUGUCCAAUAGCUCUUUGAAUCGAGCCAGUUCUCGUAGGCCAAAUGAUCUCCAUCUAAGCAAUAGACCUCCAUUGGAUGCAUUUGGUGCGAUGGUCACGGGCUUUGAACUGCGGCCCGUGACACUCGCACCUGGAUUAUUGUGUUAGAUGUUAGAUAGGAUAUACUCUAAGUCAAAUGUUAUGAAUUGUUUUAUGAACUUCCCUCGUGAAUGUCUUGCACUAGGUGUUAAUGACUGCCAGCAAUCCUUGUUACAAGAAAAAGAAACAAUUUGUUAGUAGAAAUUAUAGUAAUAUUAAUAACAAAUGCUAAAAUAAAAAUAAGAAAAAUAAUUAGAUUUAAAUUCGUAUCUAUAUUUUAAAAUUUCCUAAUUAUUCUAUAAGACACAAAAAUUAAACUAAUUUAGUACUGUUGCCUCCCUAGCAUUGACACCAACAACUUGACUGCCUCCGGACGUACUAACGUCUAGAGUAUGAAUACUGCUACUAAAAAUAUAGAAUUGAGGCAGUGUCCGCAAGUAUACGAGUCAAGUUGUAAUAUAAUUUUACAACGAAGUAGGUAAAUACUCCGAGGAUCGUACCUAAGGGACGUGAGUACUAAAUUAAUAUUAACCUAAACAUAAAUAGAUCUAAUUAAUACUAUAAAUAAAUUAUAGUACGACAAAGUAUAAAGUGAAAAAUAUUUGUUUUUGUAAGAAAAGAAAUAAACAUGCAUAAAAUAAUAAAAACAGAGAAUUAAUAUGUAAACUCAAUCAAAUCUAAGCAAGGGUGACUAGCUCACUUCGAUGGUCAUAACUAAUUCUUAUUUCGAGUUUUUACUCAAUUAACUAGUCGUUACCCUAGCAAGAUCUCUUGAUCUUCCACAAAACUAACAAAUCGAUAAUAACUACUUAUCUCUCUACCUCACAGUCCAGAUCGGAUUGGGGUAAGGGGUUCACGAAUAGGUAAUACCAAUUUUAGGUUAAUUCCCACCUAGAUGACUUCCUAGGAUUGUCAAGCCUAAGGUUUAAGUUCUUCAUAUCCCAAACAACUAAUUCGUUAAGAAACCUUACAUAGAAAUUAAUUAAUCACACUUCCACUCACGAAUCCCCCAUAAGAGGAUUAGUUCUUCAUGGAUCCCAUAAAUAAUAUAAACUUGAUAAAGCAAACAAACAUAAAAAAACAGAUCAAGAUUAAAAGUUUAAAAAGAAUCUUGAAUUGUAUUUGAAUGAAGUGCAGAAAUCCACAAAAAGUUGCAUUGAAUCCACAAGUAAGAUUCUCUGAAGAACAAUAAUGAAAAAUCAACUGAAAAUAAAUCCUAAGAACAAAAUAAAACUAAAACUGAAAACUAAACUGAAAGGAAAAUUCUAAGCUACAAAAAAGAUGAUCUCUCAAGUGUUUAAUGAGUCUAUUUAUAAUAUUAGGGUUGGCCGUCGUCCUUAGCCCUAGUUUGGUUGAUGUUUUUAUGUUAAAAUACAUUGUGUAGACCAAAACGCCCUCAGCUCAGUAAUGGUUCGCAACAGGGCUGGUGUCGUGACCACUACUGCCUAUGUCGCAACACUGAAGGUAGUUUACUUGGCUCUAACUAUGUCGCAACACCAAAUGUAGUAUGGCUAUUUUGGCAUUUUUUUAACUAUGUUGCAACAUUGAACUUUUGUGUUGCAACAUAGUGACUAGCCUAGAGUUCUCAUGCCUCUGAAUGGUGUCCUGCACUCACUAACUUUGUUUUUCUUUCCUUAGGCCUACUUCGACCUCUAAUGUCAUAAAAUCGACUCAAAUCACACUUUUUAUUAACUUUGAAACUAAAAUAUAAAAACAUAAUAAAACAUAAUAAUAUUGCUCAUAUUCAAGCUCCUUCAAGUAUGAAACUAUUUAAUUUGCUACAACGAAUUGUAGCAUAUCAAACCUCUCAAGCGCUCUUUCAAUAUUGAAAAUGCGCACAAUCAGCUUCUUUUUGUUUCAAAUAAUAUGGCAAAAAAUUAGUGUUCCACACUUUAACGAUAUUUGUAAAAUGUUCAACAUUACAAACAAUGCCUUUUGAAAAAGACCAACUUUUCUCAAUCAGUUCACCAAAUCCUAGAUGUUGUUGCCAGACAAAAAUAAAGUGAAAAGGGCAGUCACUUUUAUCACCACAAUCUCUUCCAAGUGAAGGUAGGAUGGAUCUGUGGUAGAGCCUAGUUUUUCUAGAUGUUGAACGGAUGAGUUCGAGAAUCCCAACAACCAACUUUCAUUAGCAAGACACCUAUAAAGUAUUUGAUGUAGUGCCCCUCUAGUCCAAGUGUAGGAAGGGCCUGAAAAACCAAAACCAUGUAACCCAAGUUCAAAUAUAGCAUUAUUAACUGAGAACUUACACCAUGGUUGCACCUUGAUCCUCCAGCCCGUUCAUCAAGAGAAGAGAUUGCAUUGAAGUCUCUGCCCAUAACCCAAGGUUUAUUAGAGGGUGCGCACAUAUUCAUAAGAUGCUGCCAAAAAAGCAUCCUACUUGCAUUUGGACUACCAUAGAUGGCAAUAAGCUAAAAUUCUAAGCUAGUGUCAAUAUCUUUGCAUUAAGUGUGGAUAUAUGACUGCCUUUGGACAUACUAACGUCCAGAGUGUGAAUACUACAAUAAAAUAUAUAUUAAUGAGGUGACAUCUGCAAGUAUACGAGUCCAGUUGUAAUAUAGUUACAGCAGAGUAAGUGAGCACUCCGAGAAUCGUACCCAAGAGAGGUGAGUGCUAGAUCAAUUUUAACCUAAACACAAUUAGAUCUAAUUAGUACUUUAAAUAAACUAUAUUACGAAUAAACAUAAAUAAAGGAUUUUUGUUUUUAUAAUUAAAGAACUAAAAAUAACAUAAAUAAAAAGAGUAUUCGAAAAACUAGAUUAUAAACUGGAUCAAAUGUAAACAUGGGUGAUUAGCUCAAUUUGGUAGUCAUAAUCAACUGUCGUCUCGGGCUUUCUUAUGCAACCAACUAGUCACUAUCCCAGCAAGAUCUUCCGGUCUUCCAUUCAAAUAACGAGUCGGUAAGAACUACUUAUCUUCUGACCUCACAAUCUAGACCGGUUCGAGCUAAGGUGUUCACGAAUAGGCCAUACCAAUUUUGGGUUAAUUUCCACCUAAAUGGCUUCCUAGGGUGGUCAAGCCUAGGGUUCAAGUUCUUCCUCUCCUAAACAGUUGAUCCACUAAGAAAACCCUACAUAACAAUUAAUUAAUCAUACAUCCACUAGCUAAUCCCUCAUAAGAGGAUUAGUUCCUCACAGGAUCACUAAACAUCAUAAACUCGGUACUGAAUAUAUGCAUAAAGAAUAAAACAAGAGUAAAGUUUAGAGAAUACUAUUUGUAUUUGAUAUAUGAAGUGUUGAAAUCCUCAAAUGUUUGAUUGCGUCUACAAAUUAAGUUCUUCGAAGAACACUAAUGAAAAGUUUCGAAACCAAUUUUUAAAACAAAAAUUUAGUUUCCACAUAAAAAUGAAAAUUGGAGUCGCCACCGAUCUUUUAUUGAGGUGUGAUCGGAUCACCUUGAAAAUGAUUUUGGUCUACGAGUUUCAAAAAAAAUGAGCUCGGGAGUCAAUUACGUAUGAGAAAGGGUUAGCACCCUCGUAACGCCCAAAAUUGGUACCUAAUUGAUCAUUUAAUGUCUUAAGGUCGAAUGAUAAAAAGAUUAGAAAGCAAUUCCCAUUUUCAAAAUUUUUAUUGAAAUUUAUUAUUUUGAAAACUAUAAAGUUUGGUCAUCUUGCUUCAAUGAAGAAAUCGAAACCUAGUAACUUAGGGUACGAUUCUUUGAAGUUUCGAUGACAACACAUGUAUUUGUUUUUAUUUAAAACCUCGUUUCGGGAUAACAAAAUGUCAUAUCCAAUGAGUUAGGACAUAACAUUUUGAAUUCCCGAGAUAAGCUUCAGUUUGAUAUUUUUACACUUUAAUUGAAGAAGAAAUACUCGAUUACUUAAAUUCAAUGAAGAAAAUUGAAGCCCAGUAAGUUAGGACACAAUCUUCUCGAGAAUCUUGGAUACUAAAUAUAUUGAAAAACUUAUGGAUAAAAACGGUUUCAAUAUUUUAAUAAAACAUAACCUUUUAAAUGAACGUAUUGCAAUUGAAUGAUAAUGUACAACGCAAAAGGAUAAUUCGAAAAUAAAAUAUACAUUAAUGAGCAAUGAAUAAUCAAUAAAUAAAUACAAACAAACAUAGCAACAAUAAUCUCACUUGUACAUUAUGCCAAUAUGAAUAUCAACAUUCAAAAGCUAAUAAAAAACGAGCCAAUUAAUGCAAAUGCAAACCAAAUGUACAAGUUUUGAAAUAACUAAAAAAACAAAUGGCAUGAAGGAAAUGGAAAUUGUAAAUCAAUAAAGUAUACGUACAAAAAUUUAAAAUAAAUAAUAUGCAAGAAAUUGAAAUAACCAAAAAUUGAGUUAAAAAAUAAAUACUAUGUGAGACAAUAAUAUUUAAACAAAUUUUAAAAUAAAUGUUGCACACGAGGAAAAUCAAAACAAGCACUAUACAAAAUAAUAUACAUAUAUUAAUCUAAUAAGUGAUACGUAUAAAGUGAAAACCCGAUAUAAAUAAUGAUAUAUGAAAUAAUAUGUAAAAGUUGAAAGAUACAAAAUAUAGAAGAAGGUAUUUUAAAGAAUGAAAUUAUAUACAUAUAAGUAGCUUAAAAAAACGUAUUUAAAGGGGAACUAAAAAAUCAUAGUUAUAAUAAUAUAAAAAUAACAAUAUAUUCAUAUAAUAAAAAAUAUAUAUAGAUCAUAUGCAUAUAAUAAUGAUAUUGUAUGAGAAUACUAUCAUAUAAUUCUUUAAAAUGUAAAAAUAUAAAAGAAAAUUUUAAAAAUAAAUACAUUAUAAAAUAAGAUUAUUAAAAAAAUACAUAUUAAUCAUAUUAAGCUUAUAUAAAAAUAUAUACAUAAAAAUAGUAUAUGAUAGAUAUAAAUAAUGAUAUGAUAAGUUUAAAAUUAUAGUACAUGAUAAAUUUCAAAUUAUGAUAUAUGAUAAACUUAAAUAAUAUUAAUGAUAAUUUAAAAUAAUAGUAUAUUAUAUAUUAAAAUAAUACUAAUGAUAAAUUUAAAACAAUGUUAAGCUUAGAUAUUAAAAUAAUACUAGAUUUUAAAAAAUAUGCCAAGAAUAUGAACUAAUUAGAUUUAGAAUUAAACUAAAUAAAAACUAAAUUAGAAUUGAAGCAUUAUUAAAAGAAGAAAAGGAAAAAAUAAAAUAAUAGAUCGAAGAUUAAAUUGGAAUUAAAACAAAAUUAAAAGGGCAACACACAGAAAUAAAAAUAGAAGAAAGGCUAAAUUUGUAAUCGAUUCAAAAUUGUGAGACUAAAUAGCAAUUAAACGUACAAAUUCGGGCAUUCAAAUCCAAUUAAUGGAAACGACACAGUUCAACCAGGGAUCUAAAUGGAAUAUGUAUCAAAUAUGCGGUAACAAUUUAAAAAAAUGAAGAAUAACUGAAUUGAAAUGAUAGCCAAUGCAGAGGGGCUUAUUGUGCAAAAAGACCGUUGAACAAAAUGCGCGGAUCCUCCCAGGGCCGGAUCGGGUCGCACACGGUUUGAGCAAAUACGACGCCGUUUUGGGGGCCACUGAUUCAGGCCCCAAAAGACGACGUUUAAAUGCCCUAUAAGAACUAAUUUCAAAACCCCAAAAUCAUUUCAGCCGCAUGACGCAUAUUUAGGCACUUUUGUCUCUCAACCGCUGCGCCACCUCAACAAAUUCGAAGUCCCAUCUAGCUCCGUUUUGGACGGAACAAAUAGGGCUCUGUCAUCGCCUCCGCGCAGGUAAGUAUAUCUCCAUUUUAUUUCUUUUUUUUUUAUUUGCAAAGAGAAAAACAAAAGAAAACAAAGAAGAAAAAAAGAAAUCGAAAAAAUCACCUUCGUCUUAUUCAAUUUCUCUGUAUUUUUUAUUUCAUGCGUAAUCAAAAAAAUAUCCCCCUUUACAAAAACGAACCGGCUUUUUAUAGCCAAAAUACUAUGAAUUUACAGCAAAAAUAAAAUACAAAAAUCUCUUCUAUUAUUUGUUGGCCCUUUUCUGUUAUAUCUUUUAGUGCGUUUUCUUGCUGGUUUGUUGUGUUUGUUAUAGGUGCGAGGCCGUUGUGCUGGCGUGGCGACGCACAAGGGAUGGGUGGCGCGUGUGGAUGCUUGGGGGAGGAGCGACACGGGAACAGCCUGCUAAGUUAGGGUUUUUUGAUUAGGGUUAAAUUUGGUAUUGGGCUCCAUUAGGUUUAGCAAUUGGGCUAGGUAUUUGGGUUAAGUAUUUGGGCUAGGAUAACUUUGAAUUUGGGUUUGUAGUGGGUCUGGUAUACAAUUGGGCUUUGUGAUUAAUUGGACUAUGAACUUUUUAUUAAUUAUUGGUUUUAUUUAUUUUAAAUUUGGUUUUUAUUUUUGAUUUGGGCCCGGGCAAAAUGGGCCUAUUACAAAAAAAAAUUAAAAAGAUGUCUAAACCCUAAGAGAAAGAAAAAAUAAAUUGAAGACUAAAUUCUACAAAGGAAACUAAUAAUAUCAAAAGUUGUCCUUUAACAAGUGUUUAAGAGCCUAUUUAUAGAGUUAAGGUUGUCGUCAUCCUCAACCCUAGGUUAGCUAACGCUCUCGUAUUUAACUUUUGAUUGUGCGAACCAAAACGCCCCUGGCUCAUAAGUGUUUCCCAUACAAGAUUGAUGUCGCGACACCUUAAUGCCUAUGUCACGACAUCAAAGACAGUAUGCUCAUAUUCAGGGUAUCUUCAGGGGUGUGUCGCAACAUCCUUAGACCGUGUCGCGACACUGAAGGCAGACUUGGAAUUCUUCUAUUCUGCUCCGUUUGUUGCGACAUCAAACUCUUCGUGCUGCAACACAAUGACCAGUAUCGAGUUAGCACGCCUUCUAAUGGUGUCCUGCACACUCACAAAGUAUAUUAGCUCACCCUUAGGUCUUAUUCGGCCCCUAAGGUCAAUAAAAGACUCAAAUUACAUUUUUAUUGAAUGUAAAUGAAAUUAUGAAAACUUGACUAAAACAUAACAAAAUGCUUGUAUUCAAGCUCCUCAAAUGCGAAAACUAGUUUAAUCUGCUACACUGAAUUAUGACAGAUCAAUAUACUAAUUCGAUAUGGAAAUUACAUCUAUCAUGAUGUUUUGUCUCCAAAGAAUCCAUAUUCCACCCGAGAAACCAUGUGUUUCAACUUUGUAAGAAUUGAUCAUAACCAAUCUUUUUUAACAAUUCCAUUGGCCUUUAUUCCAAUUAUACGAGUCUCCAUUCGGACAAGGAUUCUCGGUUUAUGCUUGGACACAAACAUCUUUAAAAAGUGAUUGAACCUGUUACUCGUUGCACCUUGACGAUUCCAAAACAAUAUAUUCAUCAUAGUAAAAUAAAGAAAAAAGAGAAGAAGAAUCAAACUCAUAAAUUACUGUCAGGAGAGUCGUUUUCUUCCACAUAAUUCUCAGCCACCAUAUCCCCAGCCACUAUCAUUGGUUGCUCAAUCUCCUCAUUUGCCCCAGAACUUGUAGAAGGAAGCAAACCAUUCAGGGACCCUCCAUUAGGAUUAUCCAUUUGUGACGUGUGCUCAUGGAGUUUUCUGGAUAGAGAAGCAACCCAUUCUGAAAGGAGAUGCUUAGGUGCAUUUUUACGUUCCACCUUUUUCCUUACUUUAUGACCCUUUUUUGUAAUUUCUUUCAUGCUGGUAGUCUUGAAUUUACUUUGGAUUCCUAUAUCUUUUCUUACAUGUUGACCAACUCGAUGAAUAGUCGAUUUCAAGCCUUCAUCAAUUACAAUUACUGCUUGGUGAUUUUCCUUGUCAAGUGUCGUUAGCUGAUUAAUCACCAUUAAUUCUCAUGUUCCCAUAUCUUCUAACCCCCGCUUCCUUUGUAAUAAUCGUCGUUUGCAUGGAAGAAACUGUUUGGUUUGUUUCCUUUUUUGGACUUUAUAUUGCCAUUAUUGCAGCUCACUCAAGACAGUAAAACAUUGAAUUGUAGGAGUUCCCUUAAUAUGACUCGUAGGUCUUCCACCAUUCCUUCCGGCCGCUGUCAGGUUCCUGCUCCGACCACUAGUUACUUGCAUCCAAGGUUCAUAGAGUCCUUGAUCAUUGGAUCUAUUUUCUUUAUUCCACAUCAGAUUCACCGAUGUGUGAUUCAUCGUCUCUUCCAUAGCAGUUGACAGGGUAUCUGUUUUCUUUUCACUGGGAUUCAGUUUUCAAUUUUCUUUGAUGUGGCCAACCCUACUGCAGUCAUAACAAAUUGAUGGAAGACCCUCACAAACUACUGCUUGUUUUUUCCUGUCGAUCCCCAAGAACGAAACAAGAGGUUUUGAUAGGUCAACCACCACAGCAAUCCUCGCAAACUUACCUCUCUUCCCAUCAGUGGUAUUGUAGUCCGCCUUAACGACUCCACCACUGACUUCAGCCAAUGCGAGCAUAAGACCCUUUAUGUAAUAACGAUAGUAAAGCCCCGGUAAUCAUAUCCAUGCUAUAAUCUUCGAUAGAUGAGCCUCCUCUGUAGAGAAUUCGCGGCUCCAAGGUUGCACCUCCAAGUAAUGGUCGUAAACCAUCCAAAGGCCACCCAUAAGAACUCUAUUGUAGUCAUUCUAGCUAGCAAGUUUAACAAGAAAGUAAUUAUUAUGAAGAUCAACAAUCUUGUAGUCACUUGUUAACCCCCAGAGGCUUUCAAUUCUAUUAGAUAGUGCCCUAUAUCUGAUUGGUCUUCCGAGCAUGCGUACGAUCACCGUUUGUUUCAUGCUUUUGUUGAUCAAAUUAUGAACUCUUUCAGAGAAGUAGAUUUGAGGGUAUGGGGCAUCUAAAGAUAUUUUAACAUCACCCUCAAGAAAUGUAAUCUCCUUUUCAUCAUCCAAGGGGAGAUGCACAUCCUCAUCUUUUUCCUUCAUUCCCAUUGCCCAUUAACAUCUCUUUAAAGGAAACCUUACGUGUUUCGGGUUCCUUCAUCACCUGAUCAUCAACAUCCACCAGAUCGAAAUCUUUGUUUUUUACUUUCUUAGUAGCUCGUAGCAGCUCCGUCGGUAGCGGAGAGCCUGAGCGUUCAUUGCUAGCGAGAGCGUCCAGAGAGAGUUCCAUUUGUACUAUGCCUACUAAAAUGUAUAACGUAGUACUUUUGAUUUGUAAGAGAUAUAAUUCUAUUGAAAAAGUUAAUCAUCAUAUUUAACUUUAAAAAAAAAAAGAAACAAAGGUCAGAUUGAAAAAAUUAUCAUCAUAUCAAAUUUAACGUUAUGCCCAGAAAAAUAAAUAAAAAAAUACAAGUAAAAUUUUGAUCUGUUAAACCUAAAAUAAGAAUAAUGAAUAGGCCUGGUAUGAUCAAUCUAUUAAAAAGGAAACAAAAAUGUGAACUGUGGGCUGGGCCUAUUUUCACUGAAAUAGGCAGUCUGCAAUGUGGUGGGUAAGGCUUUCUUUUUUGUCAUUGUAAAAACAAUAAAUUUAUUUAUAUUUGAUACAAAAUUACAUUUUGUAUAUUAUUUUAUAUUAGUCUUCCCCCUAAAAACAAAGUUAAUCUUUCAACUUAUACCUUAGCCUAAACAAGUUGUUAACCUUUCACUUGAAAAUAAAAGCUUAUUAGGGUACCAAUCAAAUAAAUAAGAAAAAAAGUAUAGGGACUUAUGUAAUAAUUCAAUUUUUUUUUAAACAUUUGGCGAACAUAUAUAAUUACAGAUGGCAGAAUAGAUAUAAUAGAUAAAUAAAUAAGACAGAUGUUGAACCUUAAAGAUCCAAGAUGAUGUGUGGGCAUAGAAGACAAGUUCUGUCUAAAAAUUUUGAAAUGUGGGGUUUGCUUGCCCCAUUCAAGGUUGAACACAACCACUUUACAUGUGACCAUCAAUUCCAUAUUCGGCCUAUUUUUCUAAUUUGACUUCUCCUUUUUACUUAUCCUUAACAAACAUUCUUUUUGGUAAUUAGACUUCCCCCCUCCACAUGCACCAACCAUCUUAUAUUAUAUUAUAUUAUAUUAUUCAUAAUUCCAAAUUUCAAUAUUUAUAACCUUGUGAAAAAUAUCUUCUUCUUCUUUUCCUUUUUAAAUGAAAAACCAAUCUACUUGGAUUUCAGAAUCAACUAUGCAGAAAUAAAUCUAACGUAAAGCAAAAAUAGGGUUUGCAUUUUGCAGAGGUGAGGCCAAUUUGACGGUCAAUAUUCAAGUAUGCGUGUGCGUUUCAGACAUUGUCGAUUUGCCCAAAAAGCCUAAUGCGACAAAUUAUUGCUCUGCUAUGUGCCUGAACCGCAAGGACAACCACAAAUUGUUAAUUUUCCAAGUAUUUGGACCAUUAGAUUUUUCACUCUUAAUUGAAUUGAGGAUUUCCAUUUUUUUUUAAAGAUUAAAUCAUGAAUAGUUACUUAAUUUACUACUAACUCCCCAAGGCAUUAAAAAAAAUAUUCUCUUUCAUCUUAAGUUGUCUAGGAGUUGUGAAAUUGAGAGAAAUGAAAAAAAGAAAACUGAGGCAGAUUCAGAGUCCAGAGUCUCAACAGGUAAAGCAAACUCCAGUUUCAUAAACAUUAAAAAAGAAAAGGUACCUACCAAUGCUGCAUUAUGUAAGCAAAACACGUACUUCCUAUAUCCUUACAUUACAUCAGGGAAGGAAAGAAAUAUCAGUAAUUAAAUCUAAAGGUGCUGAACUCAUCAUAUAUCUGAUAAAAAUGUUUCACCUAGUGGGAUGAUGAAGACCAAGAAACUGGGGGAGGUCAACAAGGGGAUGAUAUGUGAAGAAAGUUGUAACUCUAAAACAGAAAUGUUUUACUAAUAUAGAACUGAAGGUGAAAGGAAAAGUUAAAGAACAUGAAAAAAAUUAUCAAAAUCAAAAGCAACUAAGAACAUAGGAUGAUCCCGUUCUUACACCAUCCAUUGAAGACAGACAAAGGAGACAAACAAAGAAAAGCAAAAUUUUUUUAAAAAAAAAAGAAUUUUUGACUAGGCGAAACGAAGACCAUGUAAGCGUCACCAUCAUCGUGAUACGUUUCAUUCAUUGGUGCAUGAUCUUGACCGUCAAUGGGAAUCAGGGUUUCUUUUCCUUUUCUUUUUUCUUCUUUAUUCUUUGAUGUUCUUUUUUUUUUUUAUCUUGUGAAGUCAUGGACAAGGCUUGUUGGCCUGUCUGUGACGUUGAGUCUCCAAGAAAGGUAGGGGAUCCCAGUAUCAGAAUCUCGAUCAGUAUCUUCAAUGAACCUGAAUUCAUUAAGAGGCGAGAAACAUGGCAUUUUUUGGUUCUGAUGAACCCAUGAAUUGUUGUGGUGAUACUGAUAGCCAUGGUGUUGCUGUUCCAGCAUUGAAGCUGUUGCACUCGAUGAGUUGUUUGCAUUUGCUGCUGUAGCUCUUCUUUCUUCUUUUUUGAAUCGAAUCCCGCAGGCAUUGCAAAGUGACUGCAAUUAACAGAAACAAGGAUACAAGGUUGUUUGUUUUUUUUAUCCCGAAGAAACAAUGGAGAGAUUGGGAUUUGGAAAUUUUGGUAUACCUUUGGACCCCUCGGCCCGUUCCUCCAAAGUGGGGUUGAAGUAGUGUCGCAGUUGGCGCAGCGGCGAGCUAAUAGAGGAUCGUUGCCUGAGCCGUUACUGCUAUUCCCAUUGCUUCCACGGCUAGCUUUGGUGGUUUGGUGUGAAUAAGGUGCGCUCUUGUUCUGCAACAUGUCCCAGCAAUAGUUGGAAAUGCAAGGGUUACUACGUUCAUGCCGGAUAUGCUUGUCGUCGUCUUCACAAAGACGAGUGGAUGGAGUUCCCAAAGAGAGAGUGCAAUCGACGGAAGAAGAUGAAGAGGGCAUGAAAGGGUACAUGUUAGUUUCAUCGCAAGAUCGGUGGUUCGGCAUGGAAAAUAGCCACGAGGAGUUGCUUUGGCUAUGAUACAGGCCACAUGAACAUGGACCCACCAUGUUUCCCUGAGAGCUACUGCACCUGUGCAUUGUUUUCUCAAUCGGUUUCUCUAUGAAUAUGUGUCGAAGGCCUAACUAUACCCACUGUCACCUCAAUUUCAGCACUAUGGGAUGACCACGAAGAUCGAAUGGGGGCAGAUUCAGAAUGAUCAAAAAACCAACCAACAAUCGCCAACUGAUCAGUGAGAACAAAAUGAAAAACGAAGAAACAAAGGGAUUGAAGAUGAAUAGAAAAAGAACAAGCUAAUGCAAUUGAAAAUAGAAAGAAUUUGAUGGUGGGAGUGUAUAGUUAAAGGGCAAUGGCAGGGUAGUACGAGCCAAAUAGUAAAACUGAGAGCCAAGUGCAAUAAUAUAGCGUUUGAAUAAUAAGUUGGGAGGAAAGAGAGAGAUAGGGGGGGACUGAGAAGAGUUGUUGUCUGGUAGCUUUAUAAGCUAAUAAAAUGGCGAAAUACCAGUCAGCACCUGCAGUCCACGUUGUCGUCUAAUGCAAAUGGAGAGAUGUACAUGCUUGUAUAGCAAGAGAGACAUAAAGAUACAGACAGAGAGGGUCCCAGGUUGCAUGUUACAGAUAGAGAAAUAAACUUUUAGAAAACCUCCCCAAAAAAAAACACAAUAAACUAUGCAUAAAUAUAGUUAAAAUACUACUAGUAUACUUGUACUCUUAAAUAUUAAGUAAAGAGAAAAAAGAAAAAUAAGUCGGCCAGUCAGAGUCUGGGUCAGGGUGGAGGGGAUAGUAUAGAGAAAUAACUAAUAAGGCUAUACUAUUUGCAAGUUGAGGACUUGGUGGUGUCGUGGGCAAUGGAAUUUAUACUCCAAAACUGAAGGGGAAAAGGGAGGUGGGGGAGGGGGGGCGCUCGUAACAAAGCAAAGCAAUGGGUUGGUCAUUGGGUAGUCAAAAGAGGGCCACGUGACUAGCGGGAACAGUCUUCCAUGGAUCUGCCUUCUCCGAUCACGAGGCCCUAUUACUCUCAAACCCAAUACAUCAAAACCUCUGUCCGUAUCCGUAUCUCUGCCCCCUCUCCUCUGUCAUUGCCAGCCUCCCAAGGAAAAUGGAACAUUUCCACCCCUCACCCCCCCCCCACGCCCCUUCUCUCUGCGGCGUUUUUCCCACGCUCCAGUCCCCACUGCCGAAGGGUAUUAUUCACUCCCAGGAUUUUAUACCUUUCCUUCGUGCUCUCAGAUAAUAAAACCACCAUCGUUUUGAUUAUAGUUUGAAAGAAAAAUUAGUGUCUGAAGUUUAAAAUUGUUGUUUUCCAAGUUGGAUAGAGAAUAAAGACAUAUUUUGUAAUUUCCCAUAAACAUUGAUCACUUAGUAACACUUGUUUAUUUAAAUUUUUUGUUGGUUUGUGAUAUCUGAAAGGUUUUAACUUUAACUAUGUCUUCAAUGAUCAGGUAUACAGGAAGGAGAUAGUGAUUGUCACGCACUGGUUUUGGCAGUGGGGGAAGGAUAAAUUAAGCUGAUAAAUUUAGUUAUAAGUGUAUUCAGCAGAGCUAUGAACACUGCUAUUAUAACAACGGCGACUCCGUUAGUUGUUAUAGUCAUAGGCAAGUCCAAUCCAUUCGUCCCUUCCAAAAAAAAAAGAUAAUCAAGUUUUCAAGGUUACUAUGAUAAGAACCAAGCCGUACCCUGGAAUCACGUGAACCUCUCUCAAAAAACCAAAGCCAAUAUCGUCAUGAUAAUCAUCUCUUCAUGUUCCGUAUCUAAAACCCAUCACCACCACCCCGAAAAAGCCUUUUGGUUUCUAGUAUUUUGUCUUAGCAAAUAGUAAAAUCCCCAACACUGGAAACAAGGCUAAAGGGGAAAUGAAAUGAAAUAAAUUAAAUUAAAAAUAAAGGUAUCAAAAUGAGAUACUCUGCAAUCAUCAAAGCAACAAACAUCUCUGUUUCUACUUAGCUUACCAAGAGAGAAAGAAAAGAAAGAUGUUUGAGUCAAAGAUGGGAAAUCACAAAAAGAAAAAGGUCAAAAAAUUUGAGAAAUUAAGAAACCCCCCCCCAAAAAAAAGGGCACACUCAGAAAUGACCCCACAUCAUCAUGGCUAAACCCCAAACCAAAAUAAAAAACCCAAAAUAAUAUUCAAUUGAUCUCAUGAAGAAUAUGAUGGAAAGAUUCAAAAAGAUAUGAAGAGAGAGAGAGAAGGAGAGGAAAAAAAAAAGAAUCAGAUCGUCUAGAGAUUGGUGAGGGGCCUUACUUAGUUCGACAAACGGGACGACCACCGCUUUCCAAAAGAUGCUCUUCUCACCGCUUUGUAAACCACGAAAACACACACAAAAAAAACCCUGUGAGUAGCCCGAGAUAGUGUCGCCAUUUCCAAUCAUCAUUUUCCGCCACGCGACCCACAAAUGAUCGAUGCGAGCGUGGAGAACACGCCGAGGAGAGGAGAGUGGGGGAGGAGCUCAAAUGCCCAUAAAAUUCGAGGAGAUCUUUUUUAAUGGGAAACUCUGGGAUUUGCUUAAUCAUCUCAAACCCACAAAACCCAUCGAAGAUGAUUUAAUGUUUUAGAUGGCAUUUUUAUUUUUUCGUGCUCCCGAAUUGAAUCAUGAUGCUAUGUGACUCGUUGGGGUGGGGUCCACUAAUUUUAGGGUUUAGGAUAGUUUUUAUGGUUUUUCCAAGGGAAAUCAAAGCAGAUCGUCUCAGGGGUUUUAUCAAUUCUCAAGGUGCCACGAGGGUACCGUGAGGGUGUAGAUUUUGUUUUAUUUUAAUUUUAAAAAUGUAAAAAAAUUGUAGAGUUGGGUUGGGUUGGGUUUUGCAUGCCAUGCAGGGCAUGCAAAAAUGUGAUAAACAAGGAAAGACCCUUGCAACAGGCUUUUAAAUAAUGAGAGACCGCAUUAAUUGAACAUUCCUCAAAAGCAACGAGAAUACAACUGGAAUGUUUCUUGGGAGAUUGAGUUUUUUUUUUUAUGAAGGAUGGGAAAAGAAAAAGGUAAGUUGAGAAAAGGAGUGUUUGCUUGAAGAAGAAGAAGAAGAAAAAAAAAACAAAGGAUCCGACGACCCAACGGACCAACAUUUAGAAAAAGGAGUGCUUGUUUGAAAAACAAAUAUAUGAAAGAUAAGUUGUUGUCAGUAUCAACGGGCAUCUAAUCUAAGGGUCACUGUAACCUCUAAUUGUCGCCUCCAAGGAAGUCUAAUCACUAUCUUCUUAAACCUUACGUUCAAAUUUUGCACCUUUUUCUUUUCUUUCUUUGGUCUUUUGAGUUUGUCCUAAGGAUUAAACUCCUUGCACUUGUGCUUAUCUGAAUUUCAUUUAUUUAAAUAUACCAACUUAUACAUGGUUACAUCAAAUAUAAAUCCUAAAACCAAACCCAAAAUAAUUAAUUAAAAAAAAGAUGGUUAGAAAAAGAAAUGGAUGAAUGCCUUAGAAGGGUUAGGUAUCAUUGGACUGGAUCUAGUCUUCCUUGACUGUCAUUUGUAUGCAUGUCCUUUACGUAAACCCUUCCUUUUUUUUAUUUUUCCCUUCUUUAAAUACUUUGAAUCUCUAUCUAUAACCCUUUUUUCCCUGCAACAAAACACAAAUUUCCAAACCCAAACAUUUAUAUUUUAAAUGCUUAAAGCUUACGAUAUGGACACUCUUUUCUUCUUUUUUUUCAUCCGCCAUUUUCUUUUAUGAUACUAAAAUAUUGAAUCAACAGUAAGUUUUUUUUCUUUUUGUGGCAGUAAAUUCCAUUCAGUUGUACCCUAUAAGGAUCCUAUAUUUAUUGAAUAUAAUUUGUUGACUGGUCUUUUCCCAUAUCUUGUCUGCUGCAUCUUUAUUCCUUCUGGCGAAGGAAAAAGGUUGAUGAUCUGAUGGCAGAAAGCUUUGCGAUUUUAAGUUGUUUAUAUUGCACCUUCUACCUUACCUAUUGUCCUAUUGGUCUUUAGCAAUGUAAAGCGUGAUAAACGUCAGCCUUUAUAUAUAUAUUAUAUAUAUAAGACGUAUUAGGAGAUUAUUUUUCUUUUUUCACGAAAAAUGACAAUUGAUCAUCAUUCAGAUUCCAGUUUUGAAUUCAGGGAAAAACUGCACUUCUUCUUCCAAAUAUCUGUUGGAAGAUACGCUUUCUUUAACUAAUAUUUAUAUAUAUAUAUCAACUAUGAAAUUAUAUAAAUCUCUAUAUGCAUAUGAAAUACAAUUUUUUAAGAGUUAAUGAAAUUUAAUGUAUUAUUAAUAAAAGCACAUGCUAAUACUUUCAGAUUUGACACAUGAAUUUUAAAUUUGUGCAAUCAUACACAUUAAAUUUUUAUUUUGAUUCAAAUAUAUAUAUAAAUCUUUUAUUUUAAUUCAGUUAUAUAUAUUAUAAAAAUAAAUACAUUUAACUUAGUUUUAUAUUAGAUAAAUAUAAUUAUUUGUGUAUGUAAUAUAUAACAUGAAAUAAUAUUAUAUCAAUAAUAAUGUUAAUAGUUUAUAAAAAUCGAAUUAAAUCAAAAUGUUAUAUAUAAAAUUACACAUUAAUUAAAUCAAAAUUAAUGGGAUGAUGGACUAUUAAUACUAAUUUUCUAACUAUAUAAAAAUAAACUAAUUAACACAAAGUCACAAUCUCAUAUCCAAUCCUCUUGAUUAAGUAGUUGAAUAGGGUAAAGCAAAAGAUGGUGAAGUUAGGUAUUGGAAACCAAUCUUAGCCAUUGGAAAUGAAAUUAUGUCGAUAUCGGAAAACCCACAAAGUUGAGGAUCUCAUUUUCAACUGAUAAUGAUAAAAAAUCAAAAGACAAUAUGAAGAAAGUUGUAAUUUUGUCAGAAAAAGAGAAGUCCUAUUAUGAAUCAGAAGAGUGGAGCUUCGGGAAUCAGUCAGAGGUAGGUGUAUAGAUAUAUAUAUAUUUGCUGGUGCUGGCAACAGUAUUGUUCCGGAGAUCUUUUUGACGCUUAAGAAACUUUGUCAAUUGGAACUUACUUGACUGUUCUUCUUUGUCAAAAGAAUAAUUAUUAUCAAUAUAUAUAAAUAAAAGGAGUAAGAGUUUAAUGGAAGCUGAUGAAGUGAACAGCUAGUUCAUAAAUCAUGAGAUUCCAGAUCUGUGCCUAGGAUAGCUAAAUUAGGAGCUUCCUCGAAAGCUUAAUAUUUCCCCUGCUCGUUAUAGCUAUCCUUUAUCGUACACAUAAUGAUAUAAUUAAGAAUCAUUCUAUACAAAUCUCAACAAAUUUGUAGUAAAAUUAUGGAAAAAGGAAAAACAAGUACACACUUGGUAGUAGCAUGUUAAAAUAGAUAAAUAAAAUCAACUACACUUUCAAAGUUAAGAACAGAGUUAACUUGAAUAAGUAGUAGCAUGUUUCACUUAAUUUCUCUUUUAAAAAAAUGACUCUUGUUUUCAGAAUGAUAGUGGUCCAAAACUUUGAAAAUAAUUAUGUUAAGGAUAGUUAUGUUCAAAAUAGAGCUUCAAUUUAGAACGGUUGUCAUUCAGUGUAUUCGUCAUUUGAGAAUAACUAAUGUUCAGAACAAUUCUUGUUUAAAAUAAUUGUACUUCAAGGACAAGUAUGCUCAGAAUAACUAUUGUUUAGAACAUGUUUUUUUUAGAAAAUUUGUAUUUUUUUUUCUAGAAGAACCAUCAUUUGGAGCAAGCACUUUCAAGAAAAGUCUCACCAUAGAACAACUCUUGUUCAAAAUAACCUCUACUAAAAACAACUAUGUUGAGAAUAAUUCACGUUCAAAAUAACCCUUAUCUAGAAACAAUUUUCUUUCAAGAACAACUCUUCUUUUAAGAAUAGCUUGCAUUUCAAGAGAUGUUGAGUAGAAAAUAUGUCACAAAAUAUUGCUUCACCAAGUAAAAGAAAUGGAAAUAAUCUCGGAAUAUGAUGAGAUUCUUAGUUUGUAUCACUUUUGGGAUGUUUCAAAGAAUUUAAUUUGGUAAAUCAAAUAUAGAGAUAGUUUUAUAAACCUUAAACCCUUAAUCUAUGCUUUUAUGAGUGAGUAAAAGUCAAUUAAAAUUGACUUAAUCGUCCAAAUAUAUUCGAUUAAAUCAAUUUUUCAAUUUAAAUGUGUUGCCCUAUUAAAUUUAUAUAUAUUUUAAAUAUUUAUACUUGAAUUUAAAUUCAAAGAUAUUAACCAAACCUAAAAUAUUAUAUACCAACCCAAAUUUAUAAACAUUAAAUAAAUUUUAUUUUAAAAAAUUGGAUCUUUCUUUGUUUAGGAAUUCGAUUUGAUAUAACUUGAUGUUUGAAUAUUUGUACUAAAUAUUGACUUGGUAUGAUUGUAUGACUUUGGCACUUUUAAAAUUUUAAGAAUAUUAUUUUAUUAAUAUAUUUUAGCGUAAUAUUUGGUGCACUAUCAAUGAAGUUCUUAGACUUUAAAAGCAGUAUCAAGAGGUUGACAAGUGUCCUAUAAGAUAUAGUAAAAUAUUUAUAAAAAAACAUGACAAUUUUUUUAUAUAGCUUGUGGAAUAAAAAAAUACACUACUGGUGUAGUUAAACUCCACAAGCAUAGUUGAAAUUGUGACAAUAGUCUCAUUUCUUUAUAUAUAAAAAUAUAUUUAUUUAUUUUAGGCUUGAGCUCAUAUCGAUUUUAAGCUCGUGUUAUUUUAGGCUCGAGCUUUCUUAGGCUUGAGUUGUCACAGGGUCAAAUUUUUUCAAGUUCAUACCAUUGUGAGCUUUAAUCGAUAUGGGAGGGCUUUCAACUUUGGGUAUGUUUUGCUAGCUCAAUCCACGGUGUGAACCACCAUAAUUAGUCAUUUCAACUUUUGUGUUGUAACACAUACCAACCAGGCAUAAGAAAUGAAAAUUGCAUUGAGUCUGGAAAGCAUACAAAAUUAAAAUGAUUGAAGCAAAAAUCCAUUAAUAAAUAAAGCAAUUAUAUACAAAGAAACACCUUUUUUAAAGUACUUAAGUUAUUUGAACAAGCAGAAUGAAGGUUAGUGUAACACCUCGUACUCGACUCGAUCGCCAGGUCUGAGCUACGAGAUGCCACAUUCGUUUUCGAAGCAACUACAAUCAUUUAUAUUCAAUUUGAGAACAUUAAAACAUUUAAAUACAAGUAUCAAAUGUGUAUAAUAGGAUAUAAAAUCAUUUUGGGUAUUAAUUGAGCUUACAAAAGCUCUUUUGCUAACCCGAGGUCAGAUUAAUUCCAAAUUGUAAAGUUUACAAAAUCUUAGGUCAACGUUGCGACUACGAGAGCUCCACGUCAUGACACAACAUACUAACUUGGCCCUCGUUACGACGUUGAGGGACCGACGUCGCGACGUGACCCUUGUUCUUCUACAAGUUAAUUCUAUAGAUUGCCCAACAAGCAUUUAUAGCAUACAUGAAUACCUUAAAGGCUUCAAUUAAUCAUUUACCAUAAUUUCAACCUGUUAAAAACCAUUUACCAAGAAAUCAACACAAUUUACAUGCAUAAUUACUAACCAUUUUGACUAUUUACAAUACAAAUUCUCAAAAAUGACAAUUCAAAACAUUUGAAACAAGUAAAAUCUAGGUACAUGCCAUUUGACCAAAACUAAAUAAGCUAUACAAACUUAGUUGAGUCGAAAACGGAGGUCCGAAUGCUGACUUCACUUUCCUGGGGCUUUAAGAAUACCUGAACCUAUGCACAAACAAACAAAUCGUACGCUGAGUAAAAGGGUUCAAUAGUACAUUUAUGAUUCAAGAUAUAUAUACCAAGGCAUUAUCAAUAUGUUUUAAGAUAAGACAUGGGUAUAUACAUCUAAUAUUCAAUCAAUUCAUGUUCCAAAAUGUCAAGCGAUUCCAACUGUGGACUUGUACAGGUAACAUGCUUAUAUCAAUAUCAAACAAUCUAUUCAACAGUGUAACUUAUAUGACCAACUCCAACUUAUUUAGCAAUUAACAAUUAUUCAAUACAUAUUAAUUUCCAUAUCAUUCAAUAACCAAGCAUUCAUUAAUGCAUCUUUACAAAUUAUCAAUAACAUUAUAUCUUUCAUAUUUCAUGGCAUUCAUUUCUUUUACUUUGAUUUCAUACCAUUCAGCUCAUUUCUAGAGUCUAUCUGUCACACCUAAUUUUUAAUAGAGGUCCGAAAUUAAGAAAAGAGUUGGGUGUUAAUUGAAAGAAAUCGUAGGUCUGGCAACCUCUACUGUAAAAUCUGAAAAUUUUAGUAGUUGAAUGGAAAAUAGUUGAGUUUUAAUUUUAGCUCAGUUACAUUGGAAUUGACUGGUUAUUGAGUGGGAAACAUAAUGAUUUCAGUCAUUGGUUUUGAUGGGUUUUUAGGUGACCAUGCGUGUAAGAUUAUAUAUAGAUAAAAAGUGUUAUUUCGAGGGGGAAUUCUUCUCGAUUCUGUUUCAUUUUCUUCUUUUAUUCAUCUUUUUAUUUAGUUGUUCCGAAAAAGAGAAAAUUCAAGGAAAGCUCUGCAUGGAACAAUGAACAAGAGGAUUGAGUCUGAAAAGAUAAUAAUAUAAUGAACUAGUAAGCUUCUUAAUCUUUCUGUACGUAUGGAUUUGAGAAAAAAGAGAAGUUAGGGGGUUUCUAUAAAUUUUGAAAGGUUUCUGCAAGUUUCUAGAAUCUAGAUUUUGAAACAUGAAGUCAUUCAAUUUAACUGGUAUAUUUGGUUGUCAUGCUUAGCUAACCAGGAUGGAGGAGACUCUGGUUGUUGGAAAAAGCUAAGCUGGCAGAGAGGAAAGACGAUAGGUGAGUUUCUGUACUCCACUAUUUGGGUGUUGUUCUAGUUGUUGUGCUACUUGUAUGUUCUGCACUGAGUUCAGUUUGAGUUCUUUGGCCAUAUAUGAUCUUUGUUGAUUGGAAAGGUUAUGCAUGCAUAUGGUUGUGCAAUUAUAUGAAUGUCUACAAGUAUGUUAUCUGAAUGUAUGAUAUGGAUAUGUAUUGAUGAAUUGAUAUGUGGCAUACUCCGUGUUGUAAUAAUGAACGUAAUGUUGUGCGUGAAAUGUAUAUUUAUAAAAUGUAGAGUAUGGAAGGAAUGAUUUGGCAGGUUAGUUGAAGAUAGGAAAAUCAAUGUAAUGAAAGAAUAGAUGAAUUGAAUGCGAAUUAGAGUCACCGAAAUAUGAAAUGGCCCGGCGAUCCGGGUGAACACUUAGGUGUUCGAACUAAAAAGGAGGACUUGAGGAAAUUUGGAUGGAUAAAUUGUCUACUGGCUCUAUGGAGUGACAUCAUGUAAAUGAUCUACUAGCUCUACGGAGCAACACCAUGAAAAUGGUCUACUGACUCUUCAGAGUCAAAAGUCCACGUCUAGCUAUGGCAUGAUCCAGUUGAGGAUAAGUUCACCUUUAUGGCAAAAUGAAGUAUGCUAAGACAGGAAACAAGGAAGCCAUUAGGGCAUAUAUGUGGAAAAAAGGAUUUCCCUUUAGAGUAUUUGCAAAUACAUAUCCGCCAUUUGGAGUCCGCCAAGGAUUAUCUAUUCUGGGAAAAUCUACUAAAGACUCUGUUGAAAGAGAGUCUUUUAGGACUACCAGAUAAAAUGGAAGGGUUCGCCAAUGGCUAUAUUAAAUAGAAGGUUUGUUUGGGACUACCUGAUGAUGGGAAAAUCCAUUAGGACCAUCUGAUAGAUGAAAUUUCCACCCGGACUAUCAUUAUUGGAGAGUCCGCCAAGGAUUAUCUAAUGAGGGGAAGUCCACCAAUAACUACCUUAUGGUGAAAGUCUACUAAAGAAUAUCUGAUUAAUGGAAUAUCUAUUUGGACUAUCUUGAAGGGGAAAGCUAGUGAGGCUAUCUUACAAGUACAAUUCUGCAAGAAAUGAUUAGUUCUUAAAAUUAUUGGCCAAAACUUAUACUCAAAGGCCACAUACGAGGAUGUAAGUAAACAGGUUUUCCUCUGGAAGAGUAUAUGCACAAGCUAAGUUAUAAGGAAGUAAAUGUCAAGAUAAUGCAGUAAGUCGAUAUUGAGUUCGACGCAGAAUGAAGGAAUCAAGGUAAGAAUCCAUCUUUUUGGUGAAACAUCUGCAAGUUCGCCAAAGUUAGAAGACAAUUUGUAUAUAUGCUUGCGUGGCUAUCUUUUGAUGAGUCAAACCAGCAAGGUAGAAUAAAAGUAUGAGAUGAAGCUUGACAAAGUCAAGUCUCAAAAAGUAAGUUGUCAGAAAGAGUAUGAUUACGCCCAAGUCCGCCCUCGAUAUGUCCGCCAACGAUACGUUCAAGAAGAACAGAUAAGCGUCAACCACACCAGCCAAAUUGCGAGAGCUUAUAUGAAACUCAGAGAGUUUAUUUACGUGCAUUAAUUCUUAUUAUUUGUAAUAUCAGACAUACUGAAACAAUUAUGCUGAUGCGUAAGUGCGUAAGGGUGUUCAAAUUUUAGUUAAAACCGAAUUAAUCGAUUUAAUUCGGUUAAUCGAUCGAUUAACCAAUCUAAUUUAUUUGGAGGUCAGUUAAUAAUUUUUUAAAGUUCGCUUAUCAGUUAAUUUGAUUCAAAAUUAGUUAAUUAAUUGAAUUAACUGAAAUAAAUAAUAUAUAAUAUAUAUUAGCAUCCCAACCAAUCCCCAACCCCACUAACCCAACCCAAAUAAACAUUUAAAACUCAACCCAAUACAAAUAAUUAAUUUAAUUAUAAAAGUAAUUUAUAUUAAAAAAAUAAUUUAAUAAAAAAACUAAAAAACUAAAAAACUAAAAAUAACUCGAUAACUUGCACCCUAUUCCGAUAUUACCUAAUCUCCCAAAAUCCUUAAUUGUUCAUCCCAAUCGUUCGUCCCUAAAUCCCUAAUCAUUCGUCCAAAAAUCUCUAAUCGCAAAUACCUUCCCUUUGCUAAAAAAAAGGUUCAUUUAAAAAAGAAGAAGACAUUUUCUGUCUUUUUAUUCUGUUUCCUUUGCUUCACUCUUUGACUAGAAAUGAGUAUUUGAAUGUGUUUUUAAUUGAGGCUGGUUUUAUGUUUGGUUUCCGAGAAAGUAAAGGAAGAGUGUCGAAGAUUUUGGUUGAUGGAGUUUAAUAUAGCUUGGCAUUUUACUUCAAAAUGGAGAUAAAUUCCGAGAAAUGUGGAGGAUUUUUUAAUUUUUGAAUUUCUAGGGUUUAAUAGGGAGAACUUUAAAUUCCUUUCUGCUUUUUUGAAUUAUGUGUGUAAAUGUAGUGGUGCUCUAGAAUGUAGAGGAUGGGAAAGCUUACAGUGAAUGAACCUUGAUUUUGGGAAGUGUCAUAUAAUUGUAGAGGCAAAAAUUAACAUUCAAAUAGGCCAUUUUGAAUUAUAUAUGUAAAUAUAAAUUAGAAUUGAAAAAACUUGUUAGAAUUCUUUUCAACUACCGAAAAAAUGAAGUUGAAAUUUUUUAGCUAAUAUGAUUUCUGGUUCAAGAUGUGGUAACCAAAGAAACCUAUGCAAUAUGACUUUAGUGGUAGCCUGACAAUCAAGACAAUAUACAUGGGUUACAAACAUCCCCUUAAAUACCUCUCUAAAGUCAAUAGAGAAGGUAGAAUAACUGCCUCAACCAUCAACUUCCUUCCUUCUCUCACCUAAGCUAAUCUCCUAUUCAUAACAUUUGUUGUGACUUGCAACCCAUUGAAUGAACCACCUAUCCGACCUCCUCCAUCUUCUCCUUUGUCAGCAGGCAACAAUAUUAAUUGUUACCAAUAUAUACAAAAAAAAAUGUAAGAGUUUGAUAAAGUGACCAACUAGUUUAGAAAUCAUGAAGUUCCAAAUUUGUGCUCAGGAAAGCUAUAUUAAGAGCAUCUUCAAAAGCUCAAAAUGCUCCCUGCUCUUUAUAGGCCUCCUUUUAUCAUACAAAUAUUGAAAUAAUUAGGCAGAUUUAUUCACGAUGUGAAAAGGGAAAUACAAGUAUUUAGCAGCUAUUAUCAUUCGACUUAUAUAUUGGGCCUUUGUUACGUAACUAGAUAAAAGAAAGGGCUACAGCAGUCCUACUUGACCCGGUUUCUAAAGGUGUAUGAGAUUUGGGCUUUUAUUGUUUCAAUCUUUUAGUAACGUGUUUAACUUAUUGGCAAAAAAUAAAAUAAAAUAAAAAGAACGUGUUCAACUUUAAAGUUUAAACCCUGCUCUCGACUUAAACCCUAGCUGGCCAACUCUCAUCUCUUUACACAAGUAGCAAUGGAGACUGAAACUUGCAUUGACUCUAUGGACUUCAAAGUUCAAGAGUUAUUAAAGGAGGCUCGUCUCGAAUGUUCGUCUCUACUUACCAAGCUCGUCGACGACACCGUUUCCGCCAUCAAAUCCGCCAUAGAUAAAAUUCCUGAAGGCCUUCAGGUAUUUAAAUUUUUAUUUAAUUAGUUCUGUUUUUGGUUUCUUUUUCAUAAAUAGAUGGAAGGGAAUAGUGAUGGAAGAUUUUUGAAGGUUACCGCGGAUUGGGCUCCAGGUUUUGUGAGAGAUAUUGGUGCAGACAAAGCCGAAUUUAAAUUUAAGAAGCCGAAGUCUAUUGAAAUUGGUGGUAGUUAUUCAAUAGGCUGCAUAGCAAAACCAGAUGUUAAUAUCGAUCUUCUCCUCCGCUUACCAAAGGUAAGAUUAUUUACAAUUUGCAAUGUUUUAUUCACUUUAGUAUUCUAUUGUAAUGCAUAUAUUUAACGUGUAGCAUUUAAGAAGUCAAUUCAUAAUUUAGUUUAUUGCGUUCAAUUUUGCUUAGCAUUACUUAAAAUGCUUGAAUUUUGUUUUUCGUUUGAUGAAUUCGAAAUUAUUACCAUGGCUUUAAAUCGGUCAGAUUAUUACAUUGAUACGAAGUCAAAGGUGCUGCUGUUUAACAAUUUUUAAAAUAUGGCAGGAAUGUUUCCACGAGAAAGACUACCUAAAUUACCGGUAUCAUGCUAAAAGGUGCCUUUACCUCUGUGUUAUAAAGAAGCACUUGAAAUCCUCUUCAUCAAUUCAGAAGGUUGAAUGGUCUGCUUUGCAAAACGAGGCUAGGAAACCUGUAUUGGUUGUCUAUCCAGGUUUGUUUCUUACUUGAGUUCCCAAUAAAAUCACCUUUGUCAUGUUAUCACAAGUUGACAGUUCCCUAAACUUUCGAACAAAUCCCUGAUUUAGUCAAAUUUAAAUAAUGGCAUUGUAGCUGCAAACCUUGGUGAAGUUCCUGGGCUUUUUAUAAGAAUAAUUCCCACAGCAACAUCCCUAUUUGAUCUUUCCAAGUUGAACAUGAAGCGGAACAAUGUACGAGCUCUGAAUGCAGGUAAUACAUGGCCAUUAGUUCUUCCCUCCCUCCCCCCACCCUUGAGCUGUACGGUGAAUGUCCAUCUCUUCAUACUGAUAAUAUAUGUCUAUAAAUCUUAUGAAGGGGAUGAUCCUCAGCCUACACCAAUAUAUAAUUGUAGCAUAUUGGAAGACAUGUAUUUAGAGGAGAAGUCAAAUUUUAUUAAGAAAACAUUUUCUGGAUGGAAGGAAUUGGGAGAGGCCUUAAUCUUGCUGAAGGUAUUAUGCCAUAUACUUGAAGAAUUUUAAACAUUGAGUUUUCAUGGCAUUGCAUCUGAAAUUUUGGUAUAUUGUUGGUGCAGGUCUGGGCUCGGUUGAGAAGUUCGAUAUAUGUUCAUGAUUGCUUAAAUGGGUUUCUAAUAUCUAUUAUAGUGUCGUACCUUGUGGCCAAAAAUAAGAUUAACCGUGAUAUGAUGCCAAUGGGGAUAUUUCGUGCCACAUUGAAAUUUAUUGGUAUGCUUUUAGCAUUUAAUAUAUACCUGUAGAGGAACACUAAUCAUCAAAUUUAGUUAGAAAUUCAAAUUGUUUUUGUUCCACAGAAACUCAACCAUUGUGGAAGCAUGGGCUUUACUUUCCAAUGUCAGACCAGAAUGUUUCUUCUAAGGUCUGUUGUGAUUUUCAUUGGCUUUCAUACUUUUUGGUAUAUGAUCCUUGAAAAGCUAUCCUUGUAAAUGUUUUAUGCUAUUAAAUUUUACCGUUAUUAGAUACUUUUUAAGAUGUAACAUAAUGUUGGUUGGAGAUGCUAAUUAGUUCAUGAGUUUCCGAUUUAACCUUCUUACCUUGUAUUUUUACAUGGAUGUACAAUACAUAUUGUGUUAAUUCCUUGGGUUUUUGAACAGGGAAAUGAGCAGCUUAAUUCUUUAACCCGCUUCAAUUUGGCAUUCAGAAUAUCAAGUGUUGCUUAUCCUGAGGUAUCCUCUUGUGAUUAUGGUUGGAAGACCUAUAUGACGAUUUUCUAAAAUUAUGUCACUCUUCAAAAGAUUCCAUGUCUAUAUUUGACUUUACUUCUAUAACUGAAGACAAAUUUUAAGUUUCUGAUUUAUUCUGAUUGGAUGGAAUUCUAAUACGAAGUAUAUUUUCCUCCUACAAUCAGCUACAAGAUGAAGUUGCGUUAACACUUAGGUGUUUAGAAAAAUGCAGAGAUGGUGGAUUUGAGGAAAUUUUCACAACCAAGAUUGACAAUGCUGCUAAAUACGAUUAUUGCAUUAGGUAUGCAUCAAUAAGUUGAUGGCUCCUUCUUUGUUUCGUCUUGUCUCAAAGAAAAUGAUAGGUUGUAAACUGUAAUUAGUUUGUUUCCUUCUGUUUAUUGUUAUAAAAUAAUUGUGUUUGAGCAUUUAGAAGGUCUUUAUACCAGAUAUUAUUUAUUUAUAUUUACAUUCUGUUUUGGUCUGAUAGAAUCAACAAAGAAAGAGAUUAUGCUUUUUCCCUGAUCAACUUGCCGUUGUUAUUUGAUAUAUAUAUUUUUUCAAAUUUUGAAGUAAAUAAUUUGUUAUCUUACUGAAUGCAUCUUUUUCUUGGAGCCUAGCUGUUUGAAGCAACCACUCUUUCAAUUGAUGCAUUCUUGUCGCUACUUGUGUUUUUGAUGCUUAUUGAAGGCAAUCUAUCACUAUUUUUACCUCUUUGUAAUGACUAUUUACAUCUUUGUACUUAUCAGAUUGAACUUGAAAGGAAAUAGUGAGGUUUAUUCUCUGGGAUUUUGCUUGGAUGAGGAAUGUUGGAGAGUGUAUGAGCAGGAUGUACACAGUCUGCUUAAUCAAGGAUUGACUGAUAGAGCAAAGUUUAUUCGUGUUAUUUGGAGGAACACUUAUUCGGACUUUAAUGUUGAAAAUGUACAGAAUCUAUGAUUGACUUUAAUUUUUUAAAAUUUUUUAUAGUUCUACUUCUAAUCCUAGGUCAUGAAUCCAGGGCUUAUCAGCACUUGAUAGUGAGCCAUUAUUUGUUGGAAUUUCAGUGAGCUCUGUAGAGAAGGCUUUUAGGGUUGUAGAUAUUGGCCCAAAUGCUGAAAAGAAAGACGAGGUAUUGUUUUCAUUUCUUUUUAUUGAUAAGUUUGUGUUGAUUGCUCGAAUCAUCUAGUUUGGACUAAUCUUCAUUUUCCUGCAACAGGCUCUCAUGUUUCGAAAAUUUUGGGGUGAGAAGGCUGAGCUUCGGAGAUUUCAAGAUGGUAAAAUUGCAGAAAGCACAGGUGAGAAAGUAAUGGUCCUGUAUUGGCUGAUUUGAGAAUUAAGUUGUGUAAUUGCCCCUUCAGACUCCAUUCUUCAAUCCAAAUUGGAAAGUUUAGCUUGACUGCUACUCCCUU
Molecule: long non-coding RNA, 70970 nt
Filed under: Gossypium barbadense (sea-island cotton)
Lineage: Eukaryota; Viridiplantae; Streptophyta; Magnoliopsida; Malvales; Malvaceae
Description: long non-coding RNA (GBAR_LNC020753)
Source: RNAcentral